Molecule: long non-coding RNA, 56525 nt
Filed under: Fragaria vesca (wild strawberry)
Lineage: Eukaryota; Viridiplantae; Streptophyta; Magnoliopsida; Rosales; Rosaceae
Description: long non-coding RNA (FVES_LNC001875)
Source: RNAcentral
UCUACACCAGUAUUCUUUAUUUCAACUAAAGUUUGAUUUAUAUUAUCGAUUAAAUAAAAAAAUUAAAUAUGUUUUAUUAUUACAUAAAAUGACUUAAAAGGAAUACUUUGAAUUAACAUAAAUUAUAGAGAGUCUCUAGCUAGUAAGAUAACUAAAAGUUAAAAUAGCUAGUCACUUACUAGUCUGCUGGAGCUGGUAAAAUUGAUAAGAAACUAAACUCGCUCUCUAAAAUAGCUAAAGAGCCAAUAUAGAGAGUCUGCUAAAUAUGCUCGCUAGGUCUUCGAGCUCUGCCGUUGGCAUCAUUUGGUGUGCGUUUUAAACAAAGUUCUCUUGUUAUUGCUUGUAAACCCGAUAAAUUCGGUGCUACAAGAAACUUCUGUUCUUUCGAUCUCCUUGCUGAUCCGUCCCUUUUUUAUUUUGUUUUAGUUAAUGUGUUUUUUUAUGAGAAUUUUUUGUAUGGUUUAGAGAUUUGGGUCGUGAAUAUUUUCCAAUAGAUUUUAUAUAUAUUGUGUUAUGUUCGCUCAAUACCGGUUGAAUUAGACUGUAAGCUUUCAUCGACUGAUCUGGUGGUGACGUUUAUGUGGUUAUGAUUUUUGUUCUUGAUAAAUAAUAAUCCUUCCAUCACAAAACAAAGGUUGAUUUCUAGAUUUUUACCCAAUAAUCCCAACUUUACUAUUGAUUUUCACGGAAAUGAAUCCGUGCGAAAGUAGGAGAGAUGCCUCCUUCUGAUGUACAGUCUUUUGAUACAGAUUCUUCUGCUGGGGCUGGUCCGUUGGUGCAAGGAUAGGCCCCUGCAAAUAUUUAGUGUUUCGUUUGUCUUCUUUCUCUCACUUUUCCUAACCAUUGAGCAGUCAGUCUUCCACGUGCUCCUGGGGACUCCCUCCUCUCUCCCUCUAUCUCUCUCCCCAGUCCACACUCCUCCACAGUCCACCUUACUUCUCAAUCCCAUACAUCUUUCAUUAUUAUUAUUUCCCCCUCUGACCCUCCCUCUGCGCUUCCUUCUCCCCCACCCAUCUUCUAUCUCACAGAAAACCAAAACCCCCAUUAUUGUUCUUCUUGAUAAUAAUGCGAAAAGAUCGAUCACCACCAAGUACUGCUUGAUUAGGUGUUGCUGUAGUUGUGUUUGUUAAUGAUGGAAGGGAUCAAAGGCUUAGGAUUAGGAGGAGGGAAGGUUGCUAUUGGUGUUGGCAAUGGCGUUGGUCAUGAGCAGGUGAUUCAGGAUCAAGACAUGGGAGAUGGAAUGCAGUGCAGUGACCAUCCUUUCAGAAACAACCCAGGUGGGAUCUGCGCUUUCUGUCUCCAAGAGAAGCUCGGCAAGCUCGUCUCUUCUUCCUUCCCUCUCCCUGUUCGUAACUCCGCCUCUUCUUCUUCCUCCCCUUCUUUUAGAUCUGACAUCACCGGCGCUAGCAAUGCCGGCGGUGUCAGCGUUGCCGGUCCUUCCUCUACUUCUCUCUCGCUCUCGGUCCGUCCGAAAGCUAACGGUGAGUCAUUUAAUCAUGAUGAGUAUUACACCCGGCGCGCCAGGAUGUCGUUUCUUCUGGCCAGGAAGAAGAAGAAAGUGACUGCCAAUGGUGGUGAGAAUAGUCACAGCCGCGCCGCGGAUAUGGUUUUCAAGAGGAGCAAGUCGACCACGACGCCGAGGAGGAGCCAUUUCAUGGAUGCUGCUGAUGAAUUUAGCCCCAGAAAGAGAAAUGGGUUCUGGUCUUUUCUCUACCACCACCACAAAACUUCCAAGAAAAUCGACAACAAAAGCUUCCGAGACAACUCCAAGAUUUCCUCCUCCUCCUCGUUCACAUCUUCUGCAACUACAACAGCAGCUGGGAGGGACAAGUCUUUGGGGUCUUCUUUAAGGAAUAAAGCCGAAACAGCCGUGGGUGAGGUUGAAGACGACAGCAGCCCCAACAGCCAAGCCACAGCCUCAGCCUCUUCGUUCGAGCGGAAAGUCUCCAGAUCCAGAUCUGUAGGCUGCGGCAGCCGGAGCUUCUCCGGCGACUUCUUCGAGCGGAUCUCGACUGGUUUCGGCGACUGCACUCUCAGAAGGGUGGAGUCUCAAAGAGAAGGCAAGCCUAAACACUCUUCAGCAGUUCGAAACGGCGCCGAGCGUGUCAAAUGUGGUGGGCUUUUCAGUGGGUUCAUGAUGACUUCAUCUUCUUCAUCGUCUUCGUCUUCCUCCUAUUGGGUCUCGUCAGCCGAAGACAUGAACGGGAAAGCAAUAUCCGGUGGUCCCGGGGCGCUAGUCCAAGGCGGCAGAAGCAGGAGCAGCUGGGGUUGGGCCUUCGCUAGCCCCAUGAGAGCUUUCAGCAAACCCUCUUCGAAAGACGGGAAGAGGGACAUUAUUAGACAAGCCAAUACUUCAGAUAAGAACACCACCCCUAACUUGUCUGCAAUUCCUUCCUUGCUAUCUGUUAGAGGUUGAUGAUGAUCAAGAUGAAGAAGAAGAGAUUAUACACAUUAAAUGUCUGUUAAUUAAUUUAAUUACCCCUGUUUAUUACUACUAUGUUCAUUUAUCUUGGAUUUCUUGGUCUCCAUUAGGGAUAUUACCAUGUAACACAUUGCCAUGAAGAAUCUUCUUGUUAAAUUUCUGGGUUUUAGUAUCCAAAAAUGGAGAGUGAAGUGGGUAGAGUGCAGAAGAUGAUGAUGACCCAUCUUUUUUUUGUUGUAUUGGAACUUGUAUUAUUUAUUAAAUCUUUUGUAACUUGGACCGUGAUGGAGUGGAAAAUUUGUAUAAAGUAUUGCAUGCAUGUUUGUAGCAACUUAAAAUUUGUAAGGUUUCAGAUGUCACAUGCAUACACAUGCUUGUUUUGUUGGUAUUCGAUAAACUGAAGACUAAUAGAUGAAUACAAUAGAAGUGAGUCAAGACGCAUGUUAAGGGAAUCCCCAGCACAAAUUUGAUUCUGGGACUUGCACUGGAUUUUUAUCAUUUUUGACACAAAAGAAAUACCUCUAAAUGGUCCCCUUCCAUUCUCAUAUAAUAGGAUUCUGAGGAGGUAAAUUACCGGAAUUGGGAAUGGUUCACCGUUUGGGGAAUUUAGAUCAGUGUUAGGGUAUACACCAAGUUUUCUGAACAUUAGUUCUCUCUUUGGUAUCGUUAGAUCAUUGUAUAGUCAAGUUUUGAACCAAUUUGAUAGUCGUAAACCUUGAAACAGACUCGCGUCUAUUUAAUGUAGUGACACAAGUUGGGAUUUAUUGUUCAAAAGAAGAGUGACGGGAAAUUCUCGCAUGUUUUUGUAUUUAAUUAGGAACAAGAGAUCUGAAUGGCCACGGGGAUGGCUUCUUCAGUGUCGGAGGAAGCCCUUGUGCGACUGACUAACAGUGAGGAAGCAAUCUUUGAUUCCUUCUUUUAUCUUUGUGGUCGUCUUCUCUCCAAGAAGCCAGUGGCUCUUCCGUCGCUCUCGGCGACGAUCUCCAAUGUUUGGGGAUUAAAGGAAAUGGUUCUCCAGGGAUUUGAAAGUGAGGAAUCGGGUCCUCCCGGCGGUCCAUGGUUUAUAAUAACACCAUGUUACUGUUGGCGGCCUACAAGGAAAUUAAAUUGUCCUUUCUAGUUCUCGUCUGUUUGGGCAAUGCCCAUUAGACCAGUUAAGUGUUUUGAUUUUCAACAUUUUGUGGUAGCUCUGGGGCAGCUUAAUUGAUCGUCAUGUCAAUAAAAGUUCGCAAAAACUACAUCUACACAAACAAUAUGAAUUAUUUAAUUACAUCAAAGGGAAAUCGACGGGCUCAGUUGGUAAGGGCAGACUUUUGGUGGAGAACUCAUUCUAGUUUGAUCUCCGCUGCCAACAGACCUUGUCUAGUUCGUGAUCUGUAAAUUUUAUUGUCGAAAUUAAUCUAUAUUUCAGGGCUGGUGUGACAGGUACAUGUCCACCAUAAGUCCUUCAAGGUUAAAGUUGCAGAUUUUCCGUGAACGAUAAUAGUGUAGCCUAACCAAACUUUCGUCUGAACUUUUUGUAAAACAUAUAUAUAUAUAUAUAGCCCUUCUCGGCUGCGGACGUCCGCACCAAUGGUUUUGGUGCGGAUUUCUAUUUUUGCACCACUUUUCAAUCGAAUUUCCUCAUCUCCACCGUCUAGUAUUUAGAUAAUAUUGUGUAUAUCAUCUCUGCAAAAUUUCAGCCAAUUUGGUGAUCGUUAAGGCCUUCAAAAUUGUGUUUUUCUGGUAUAAACAUGAACCGGACAGAAUUCAGUUCGUCCAUUUGUUUUUCGAGUUUGAAGGCCUUAACGAUUACGAAAUUGGCUGAAAUUUUGCAGAGAUGAUCUACACAAUAUUAUCUAGAUACUAGACGGUGGAGAUGAGGAAAUUCGAUCGAAAAGUGGUGCAAAAAUAGAAAUCCGCACCAAAACUUUGGUGCAGAUGUCCGCAGCUGAGAAAAAUCGUGUGUAUAUAUAUAUACACACAGUGAGUAUCAGGUACGGACGUCCGCACGGCUCUUAAAGUGCGGACGUCCCUCCUUCGCCACCGUACGGCACUGGCGAGGGCGCGUCUCCACCCCAACGAACUCCAGCAGCUUCCCCGACCACUUUCCAUCCUCGGCGAGUUCGCCGAAUUCCAGUUUUCCGGCCAAAUUGACUUUGUUUGAAGUUUUGGGUGAUCUAGCUGGAAAACUGGAAUUCGGCGGACUCGCUGGGGAGGGAAAGUGGUCGGGGACGCUGCUAGAGUCUGUUAGGGUAGAGGCGCCGUACGAUGGCGAACGAAGGGACGUCCGCACUUUAAGGCCGGUGCGGACGUCCGUAUCUGAAACGGCCUGUAUAUAUAAAUAUAUAUAUAUACGAUUUUUCUCAGCUGCGGACGUCUGCACCAAAGUUUUGGUGCGGAUUUCCAUUUUUGCACCACUUUUCGAUUUUAUUUCCUCAUCUCCACUGUCCAGUAUCUAGAUAAUAUUGUGUAGAUCAUCUCUGCAAAAUUCANNNNNNNNNNNNNNNNNNNNAUUUCACCCAAUUUGGUAAUCGUUAAGGCCCUCAAACUCGGAAAACAAAUGGACAGACUGAAUUUUGUCCGGUUCAUAUUUAUACCAGAAAAACUCGAGUUUGAGGGCCUUAACGAUUACCAAAUUGGCUGAAAUUUUGUAGAGAUGAUCUACACAAUAUUAUCUAGAUACUAGACGGUGGAGAUGAGGAAAUUCGAUCGAAAAGUUGUGCAAAAAUGGAUAUCAGCACCAAAACCAUUGGUGCGGACGUCCGCAGCCGAGAAAGGCUGUAUAUACAGGGCCCUUCCAAUGAGGGAUCCAUUUUUUUGUUCAUUUCUAGGGAUAGGCCCACACCAUUAUAUUUGUUUUUUAAUGGGUUUGGAUGACUGAGAUUAAAACAAAACUUAACACUUAUGUCAAACCUACACCGUUCAAAAUCAUUAAAAAUAAAUCUCUUAUUUGGAUGACUUAACGAUCACCAAAUUUUUUGAAAAUUUGCAUAAGUGAUCUACUCAUAUAGCUUAACGAACUAAACAGUGGAGAUUUGAUUUUGUGAUCGAAAAGUUCGUUAAAUGAUCUAUCCCUAGAAAUGAACAAAAAAAGGGAUCCCUCGUUAGAAGAGCCUUGUAUAUACACACACACCCCGAAACUUCAUGAGAGUGAUGAGAGCAAGUGAGGAACAAGAGAUUUUUGGAUGAGUAUGAAUGUAUGAUGAGAAACAAAGCAAAGGACAAGACGAAAGCUGUUGAUGAGGAAUCCGACCAAAAGAAAAGCUGUUUAUGUAGGGACUCAGUUAUUGACUUAUAAGUCAGAACUCAAUUGAAGAUUACUUCGUGGAGCCAACCUCCCUUUGUACUUGGAUAUUUUGUUUGUCCAUGGCCUCAGAUCUUUCUCUCUACACUGUUCGCAAGCCAUAUCUGUGGCCAUGUCUAUGCAUAAAGCAUACCAGCUAUUUCUGCCUGCAAUGAACAUAAAUUUAUUGUUAUGAUGCUAGAGCAGUAGUGGUAGCUGGGAAGAAGAUCUAACAGUGAAGCCUUGUACAGUUGCCCAGUAGAUAUUGUGAGUUGUACUGUUGGAACGAGAGCCAGGAUUCAAGGCUACUCCAUCUUUACAUGAUCCGGGGCUCAAGCUAGCUCCCAGUUCCCCAUGGCCUUGUGCUUGUAAACUUGCUCUUUGGUUGACAGACAUUAAUGUUACCAGAAAAGCACAUCUGGAUUGUGGUCGAAGAAACGAAGAAUGACUUGUGAUAAACGUCAUUCCUGGGAGUAAUAACGUUUGGUUCGUGGAGUAAAAACGUUUUUCAUUUUAUGUUUUUAUGGAGCAUGAGAUUCAAAACUCGUACCUAAUGAUAAUGGAAGUAUGAAUCAAGAAACUAAUAGUAAACAGAUUGUGACAGAUCUAUAUUAAUGCUACUGUUCGACUCUUAGCCGAGUUGGGCCAGCACCUUGAGACCGCGCUCUAUUGCCUCUGAUUUAAUCAUGAAGAUGUUGACAUGUUUUCUCUUUGAGUGGCAUGCAUCUUUAAACUUGUCGAGCUAAUAUGAGUUAGGGCAGCGAAUAGGCCCCCAUAGACUGGAAAACUUUGGUGGUGCUUCGGCCACUACUGCUCUCCUUAACCGUUGGGUAGUCCGCGCGCAGGUCUGAGACUUUGAGGACGAAGUUAGGUACGUAUUGGUUUUGAGUAGCUUUAAUACCGGACCUAAGACACAGAUCGAUCCCUGAGAAGGAGGCAUGUAAAAUGUAAAGGUGUAAACGAGCCGAUCGGAUAUUCGCGAAUGAAAACCCGUAUCAAAAUUGGCUUGGAUAUUCUUUGAAGCUUGGUUUGGUUACUUUAUUCCAAAUUCUAGCUUGCUUGUCGAAGUAACAACCCGAUCAUGAACACAACAUAAAAGCAAUGUAUAUCCCAUCGUGAACAAACGAUCGAGUCAUGCUCAAGUCCAACUAUAUAUGCUAUAGUGAUAAAAAUACGAGUUGCACACAAGCCAACCAAGUUCAAAUGAACAAAAAUCGUACGAAGCUCAAUACUAACUUCAGCAUAAUGAGAAUAAUCUGCUUCCUUUAUAUAAUGUAGUAUGAACUUCACCUCCAACACUAAUCGACAAUAGAUGAAAUUGCUCAAAUCUUUUUGUAGACUCAUAGAAAGCAAAAUUAUACAAUUUUUCUUCACAUUCUCUACACGACUAAUAAUAUUUCUAGUUUUCUUUUCCAUAGAAAAUGUGUGUUUUUAAAGUGUUUCCCAUAUACUCAAUUCAUUUUAAUUAAACCAAGGACGAUCAUUAGCCAACAACACUAAACACAGUAAGACACAACAGUAAUCAUAUGUCUAUUCAAAACUGCAUUCUAAUUAAGAUUCAAACCAAGUCAUGACACAUAAGUAGUAAACUACUGCAACAGAUAUAUCGAAAAACCGCAAAACAAAAGAACCAAGCAAGAAACAAAACAUUAUAAAUCAUUUUACUGCUGCCUCACUUUCUGGUUCAAGAGCAUUUGCCGGAGCUCCACCGGGUCGAUCUCAUCCGCCCUAUUAGCCGGCCUGUAGUACCCGGUUCGAGGAUCCGGUGCCCAAGCAGACGAAGACUCUUCCUUCAUCCCAACCUUCUCUUCCAGCUUCCUCACCAUAGUGCUCCUGGAGCCUCCCAUUCCAAAGCCAGCUGCCACUGAGCCAUGUGAUGCCGCCGCGUAACCUCGUCUGCUCCGACAAUCACCAAUAUUAAAUUAAUCACCAACAGAACAGAAAUAAAAUAAUCGUUUAAAAAAAUGAAGCAGAUCAAAAUGAACAUUCUAUAAGGAAAGCUCACCGGUGAAUGGAAGCCGCAACGGGAAGGAGAAUUGCCUUUGAGAGAAAGGAAGCCAUUGGAGUAUCGAAGAUAGGUACUUAGGUAGAAGUCGGUGUUGGUGAUGAGUUUGAUGGACGUAGUGACGUACUAUGUAGCUAGCUACUGCAGAAGCUAUUCAAUUCUUGGGAGACUGAGAGGAAUUCUCAAGAAUGAAAACUAGUGCAGUAGCUUGCUGGAAUGGGGAAGUAGAUGAAGGCCGAGUGAGGGAGGUGCUGCCCUUCCGCUUCUUCGGCUGUAAGGAAAAAUUGUGUGUGGCGGUGGGAGGAGGAGGAGAUUUAGGGUUUCUGUUUCUUUUUAUAUGGCCAUGAAAAGUUCAAUGGAACCAUGGGAAAUCGACACGUACGUACGUGCAAAGCUGUUGCCGGGGUGAAAAUAAUUUGUUGUUUUGUUUUAAUUAUAUUUUAGAAUGACCAGUGAAAAUGAAAAUACUCGAAGGAUCCAAUCGUUUUGCCUCUUUUAUCAGUUGUACCCAAAAUUCAGAUUGAAGAUUAAUGUUUUGGCUUCAUCCAGUUAAAUAUGAGCACAAGCGGUAAAGAAAAGUGAAAAAUGAAGUAAUUAUAAAUUAGAUCAUAUAGUCAAUCUCUUCCAAAGAAAUAAUUCUAUUCAAAUAUUAAUUACAUACUAAUGAUACUAUGAACACAAAAUAGAGUUAGUGUAGAGAAGGAAACGUUACUCAUCUAACGUAGAAUGAAGUGAAAAUUAUGCCAAUUUAGUAUAGACUACUUCAUCGUUAACUUUGGCCUAACGGCAUAAGUAGUGAUAUGAAUUAAGUCACAAAAAAAUAGUUGUUGAUAUGGUUAAAAAAUUAUUAUGUGAUAAUUAUGUGAACCCCAAAAUCGAAUUUCAUGCACUCUUAUGGUAUUCCCUGAUUCCCUCAGAUCCCCCAUUCCCAACAGAAAGUAAAAAUUCGAGCGAUUUCCCUUAAUUUUUUGUGACCAAAGACAUUCAGAAAACACACUCGAAUCUUCCUGUUUACUAGCAGAAGUCGUCGAAGCAGAUACUGGUAUAAUGGGCUCGCUGAAUGGGCCACGGAGAGUUCCACCCCGGCCCAUGUAUGUUCAAAUUAUACUUUCGACCUGCCGAAUGUAGUAAUUCGAUCAUACUGCAUGCAGUCAAACAAUUACUAAUUACUCAUCCAUGACAAUGUAUUGCUAUUUUGCUUCAAUGCCUCAAUGGCUACUUUUUACUACUCUGCAUCUCCUCACAAAGACACAUUAUUGGAUUACAAGUUCAUACAUGGCCUUCAUUACUAACUGGGAGAAUUCGACUAUACUAGUUUAAGCAAGGAGAAAUGUCCAAUCUGAAUCCCAACUAUAUUGGCUACACAUACUUGGAAGACAAAUCAAUUCACACAUUAUAUGCUAGGUAUACCUUGUCAAAUAGGUUUCAUCCUUAGUUGAACUUAUUCGUCUUUGAUUAAGAAACAAGACUUGAGCGCGCAUGUUGGCCAUGUUAAUGAUUCUUAAUUUAGAUAUUAGUUGCUGACGAUGAAGCCAGCCGGAAUGACAUUGAUGAUGGUAAGGAGGCCGAGGAGGGUGUUUCCAAUGAACUGCAAGGCAGAUUCAAGUAUCUGGGUUCCGGACAAACUAGAGUUGCAGCUAGAGAGCGGUGUGGUAACCACGAGCUUGCAAUUAGAUAAGAGUGAAGAUAGAAGAAACUGGAGAGGAUCUAGCAGGAUUGAAAAGACUCCCGAGGCAUUCGUAGUUGCAGUAGAUAUCACAUUUCCAGAUCCACAUUGCAGUACGACAGUAGCAUCUACAAACAACAAAGAAAGAUAUAUAUAACAUGUCAAAUCUACUUGCUUAUAAAGAGACCCUUUGAUAAAUAAAGAGACUCGUUUAGGAUACGGUAUAUUCAUGUUUUAGGGUUCGGAGUAUAGCAGAUAAUGCAGCUGGGUUAAGUGAAAAUAAAGAUUACUCGAGGCGCCGGCUAUAUAUUGUAACUUACUUGGGAAUACUGGUGUAAGGGAGGCGCCAGCAGUACUGACACGGCCAUUGGCGGUGCAAAACAAAGUUCCUUGUAUGCGGAUCAGCUGAAAGAUCCGGUUGAUCAGGCCAAUAAGUUGCGCUUCGGCGAUCGGAACUGCUGCCAGUGCGGCAACAACCAAGAGCGAAACAAAGAGAAGUGUUUUGAAGGAGGCCAUUGAUGCUUCUUGGAUAGCAAUAUCAACUGAAUACUAACUGCAGUACCAACUCGAGUACUGUUAAUCUUGCUAUAUGAUUCUGCGCAGGAUGGUAACCAAUUUAUAGGCUGUAAGAGGACAAGUUGCUGCAGAGUUUACUGACCAGAAUUGAAUGCCAUUUUGGAUGAUCCGGAAAUUAUGUAAUUCAAGGACAAUAACAUUCUUGUCUUGAUCAGUAUAUUUUGGUGAAACUAAGCUCGUUCAACCAUGUAUAUAUAUAAGCAUGCACGCUGCCUCUGUGGGUGGUCUUCCACCUAGAUGCUAGAGCUAGAUCGAUUUCUCUCUCCCUAUCCCGCCCGCCUUGUUUUAAUUUGACCCUGUGUAAGUUGCUCUUUCACUAGCAUUAGCAUCACUAUAGUCACCUCCUAACUUCCUUACCCUUCAGGUCAAUGAUCCUAAGAUUGAUCUUAUAUAUAGUUGUGUACUUACCUGAGUUAUCUCUAAACCCUAACUUGAAUUCAUUGGUUUCAUUUUGUUGUUACUUGUAGACUUUUAAGAUCGAGCUCACAUGAUAUUCUCAAUUUCCGAGUAAGUUUGCUUCUGCCUGCGGGCAGCGGGAAAUAGUACUUCUGAUUUUACAUAUAGUUCUUAAUUAAGUUAGUUUGUAAGAAAUUGUGAUGUCAUAGGGAAUAGAAGACCUCAAUGCCUCGACACUUUUUUAUAUACCUGGUGCAACCGCCACAAGAAUUACAGAAUAAAGAGGGACGUAGAACUCAAACCCUAAAUUAUAAUAAGCAUAAAGUGAACAUCCAGAAAUAAAAUAGGGACGUAAUCUCCAUAAAAUCUAUGUUUAACAAGCACAUUACCAAUAAACAAAUAAUGCACGGAUGACUACUCUAUUUAUUUUGAUAUUGCCGUGAUGUACAUAAAAGAUAACUUUAUAACGAAGAAACAUAAUUACAAAUAACAUAGAUUCUUCACUAUAUUGACGCACAUAAACAAAUCCGACAAGACAUAGUUUCAUUUGCCAUUAUGAGGUCGUGCCCAUUUCAUUAAACAAAUAACUCGCGGUCUCACCAGGCCAGCCAAGAUACACCGGGACCAAGGCCACAUCUCUUUUCCAUUGCAUGGACUUAUUGCUAUGAUAAUAACAAUCGGUAAUCAUAAUCCAAACAAAAACCAUCGGUAAGUAGUCGACUAAUCAUGAUUAUCAAGCUAUUAAGUAUAAUGACCAAUAUAUCGAAUAGGGAUAUUAAAUAUUAUCCUUCAAGCUAGAUUCUUUCCUCCUUUAGAGCAUCUCAAACCGUAAACCAAAUUUGAAGCUAAAUUUAGCUUAGAAAACAAGAAUAUUCUUUGAAAUCUUUUCUUAGCUUACCAAACUCUCCCACCAUAUGCUAAAUCCUUAGCUAAAUUAAUAUCAUUUUAGCUUUAGAAAGACUCCCACCGUAAGCUAAAAUCUAAGGUAAAGCCAUAUAUUUUUAUUUUCUCAUAUGUUUGUUUAAAUUAAUAAAAAAUAUUAUAUAAAUAUAUUUGAUAUGGAGGUCAUAUGAAAGAUCUCGUCGAGAUCUUCACGAUGGUUGUUAGUAACAAAUUUUUAAUUUUGAUGAUAGUAUAAAUUAUAAGAGAAAUUUUAUUAACACAUUUCUAAUUACUAGAUACACAUCCCAUACUUAAUACACCACAUAUAUAUUAACUUUAUUGUUUUAACUUUUUACUACAUACACAUACCAAAACUUCAUACAAUACCCUCAUUUAAAAUACACAACUUAUUCAUUAAAUACACAACUCAUUCACUAAAUACACUUAUUUUUCUAGAUCUGCUACUCAAUUAUUAAAAAAAAAAUCACAUUAGUGAAAUUUUUCUCAAAAAGUUUCAUCUUUCGUCACAGUAAAAUCUAAAUUUUCAACUUCAAAUUGUACUAUCUAAUCAAAUAACAUACCCUAAAAUCUAAAUUUUGUAGUAGAUCAAACUUAAUCAAAGACAGAUGAGUCAUACCUCGCUUAGGGGUUAAGAAAUAUCACUAUAAUCCAUGCAUUACGUUGUAUUCAGUUUUUGCUUAAAACUAUAGUUGUUCAUGAAAAACGUUAGGGCUUGGUAUCUUCUCACAUUUUUUUUCUUGAAGUGGAUAUAAGAAAACUCUUAAGUGAAAUAUUUUAUUUCAGCUAGAUUUCUUUAUUUUUGAUAUGAAUGUCUUUUUUGGUAAUUUUACGUACCCACAAAGUCUUAAAUAAUUUAUAUAAAAAAAUGAUGUGUAUUUAGCGUUUGAGGACAUGUUAAUAAAAUUUCUCAAAUUAAAAUGAGAAAUGUAAAGUUGAAUAAAAUAACAUUUUAUUUUAGUUUAAUUACAAACUUCAUAAGCCAAAUUUCGCUUACCAAAUAGCUCAAGCCAAUUUUUUUUAUCUUGAAAAAUGUAAUUUGGCUUAUGACGGGAGUAAACAGAGGCUAAAUUUGGUUUUUUAGCUUAUAAUGGGAGAUGUUUUUAAUCCUCGGCCGCCUUACAAUCUUAUGGAAGAGACUUGUAAGACGCUAUUGGUUCUAAAUAAUUCGAUAGGUAUAUAUUGAUCUGUGCAAUUUGUUAGGCAAGUAUAACAAAAAAAAAUUGCAAGAGAGCAGUUGCAGGAAUGGAUUGAAUCGACUGUCUAAAUCUUAAAUUUCAAUAGCAGUUUCGGUGACUCGAACUAUAUGGGCCAAGAUUUGCCUGAGUCUCUUAAGUUUCACUUAAAAUCUUGGCAAUCUUAACAGACUGUUCCCUACCAAACACACUUAUUUGAGUUAUUUCAUUCCAAAAUAUAUAUUGUGGUCAUUACAUACCGGCCAAUUAAAAGAAAGUGUUAAUUUAUUAAGCAUUUGCCCCUUAGAUUCAUGCAUGGCCUUAUAUGGAGCAUGCGCGCAAGACAACUCAAGAAUCAAAUCACACACACAAAUAAACACGACCUACUUUUAUAGAGUAGAAAGAAAGAAAAAUCACGACAAUACAAAGAUGUUAGAUUUCAAAGAAAAAAAGUGAAAGUUCAAGGCUAUAGUGUGCCUCCUCCGACGUUCUAUAAAAAAAAGCAAAAUGUCGAUUCUUUGAGCAAACAAAAAGAUAGAAAGGUUCCGCCAAAAAUGAUACAGCAGAGAAGAAAUAGGCUGCACCACUUCCACUCAUCAUCUUCUUUGCCGUUGCACUCUAUUUGUGACCUCUUCUCGUAUACGAAGAGACACAUACCACUUAAUUAGAGACCGCCCUUUUGAAACUCAGAAGAGUACUAUAUGUCUUAUACACAUAUUAUCAUUCUGUUGAAAUGUAAAAAAACCUAUGUAAUUAAAGGGCUCCAAAAUGCCCACUAAUUGUAAGCUGAAAAUCACCUACAUUUCUAACUUCAAACGUGCGUCUGAAAUGAAUGAUUUUGCAAGUAUUGAAGAGCUAAUUAAGCAGUACAAGCUGAUGAGGUAAUAGGUUCAUGUUCACUUCCUUCUUCCACCAGUAGCGCACUUGAUAAGCUUUUGUCUUCCUUCUUGGCUGGUUUUUUGUAAAUCCAAUAUAGCACGAGCUGCACUGCUCCGAGUAAAAACCCCAUCCCAUUUGGUACCUAUAUAACAGAUUCACACCCAAAAUGAACAAAAUUCUUAGUUUUGGGGUGGUGAUUAUCACUCAAUUUUCGAUUUCCCCACUUAAGUGUAGUAAGAGAUUAGGAGAUAUUUACCCCAAGAAAAUAAUCUUGUUCGAGCCAAGCAUAAAAAAGCCAGACCCCUCCGUUGAGGAAAAAGAAGAAUGAUAGCCAGAAUGGCAUAUACUCCACACUCUUCGUUGUCACCACUGUUUUCUGAAAAGAACAUUGAGACAUAGGAUGCAUAUUAGCAUAUAUAUCACUUAUUUCAUUCAUUUAAUUUCAUCGAGUGAUCGAGAAUACUUCUUAUCAUGGCCACAGUUCACGGCUAGAGAAAUAUCCACUCGUUUUUUUUUUUUCUUAAUAGAAAACAGAUAUAGUUGCUUGAAGAACACAGCUAGCUCCAACUACUUUACACCAAUUAUAAAGUGUCCUCUGCUUAAAACAAAUAUAGAAAGAAAAUAAAGAAUGUCAUAAAAUGUCCUACUCCAGGGAGGCAUGAUAAAACAAAAUAAAAAGUGUAUGAAGCACGAAAAGAAAAUAAUUAACAAGUGGGAGCAAGUAAAAGUCGAUCAUCAAGAAGCUAGCUAACAGCUAAUCUAGUAAUUUAAAAUGCUAAUACAAGGUUAGAUUUGUUCAUACGUUACAAUCACCACUGAUUAUUCUGUUUAAAAAUAAAAGAAAAUUUUGAAGUUGACCAAAUUAUGUGUGUAGAAUGCAAAAUUUGGGUGUGGUUUAGCAGGUUACCAUUGCAGCUAGAGGUGAGGCGUACAUGAUGAUGUUGAGGCCAGCACCCAAGAACCCUAUUGCACUGAUACGUGUAUCUCCCUUCAACGCCAGCCAAGUUACUAAAAUGGCCGCCGCCGGAAAACCCACAUCCAGUAUACUAAUCCAGAUCACAGUAUUCGCCUGAAAUCGGAAUUGAUAACGUCAAUAAAGACUUGUUACUAAUUCACCGCUAAUUACCAAUCUACUGUUCAUAAUUGAUCUUUACGUGCUCACCCUCUUGUUUGCUGUCGCGUAUGUGAGAAACAGAGAGAUGUAGACGAUCUCGGCAAGAACUCCGAAGCCGUUUACGGUCGAUACAAGAUAAGCUCCGGGCUUUAUGAUUCCGUAGUAAGUCCACAGGAAGGAGUUGAGGAAUGUGCAGACGUAGGGAAGACUUGUGAACUCUUCUGUAGAACGGUUCUUUACGAUUCUCGCAAAUGUAUAGCUGCAAAUUAAGAUUGUUAUUUUCCACAGGAAAAUAUACCAAACAGUGAUGUAGCUUGAGAUUUAGAUGAGAGAUUGAGCUAGCGAUGUUCAUACACAGGAGCAAGAAACAUUAGCACUGAGAUGAGGUUGCCUGCAAUCAUUGAAAAGGAAAGUUUAACUAUUUGUCUUUCUUCACAUGAAUACAGAAACAGCUCUAAGUUGAGGGUUUAAUCAAUUCUCAGUUCUCACCAAUAACUCCGACAUAGAAACUCAAAGCUGCCAUGUCUGGAGAAACAAUAUGGAGUAGUAGCUAGUUCGAUCUGGUUCUUGCUUGGUCUUCGCUUGAGAGAGAGAGAGAGAGAGAGAGAGAGAGAGAGAGAGAGAGANNNNNNNNNNNNNNNNNNNNGAGAGAGAGAGAGACUGUGUGUGUGUUUCUCUUUUGUGAAUAAUACAAUGGUGGGUUCAAGAACUUAUAAUGUUUAAAAGGGUGGGUCUGGUUGUUGAGCGUAAUGGAAUGCAUUUCUUGUUAUGAAAAAUACUCGAUCGGGAAAUCUAUGCUUAUAUAUUUGAGUAUACAUUACCAAACAAGGAAGACUAACCAAAACAGAAAAAGAAAAAUGAAAGAAAUAUAUGUGUGCGUCUGUGCGAGCAGCAAGAAUAACGUGUAGGAAAUAACCUAAAAACAAGAGUUCUUUUUUUUUUUUUUGUGAUAGGACCUAAAACAGAAGUACCUUAAUCAACUGCAUUAAGGGCUAAUUUAGUAUUUAGUAUUGCUGUGACUUUGAAAAAGAAACUUUUACAAGCCUAAGUCAUUAACAAUAUGUUAAUUGACUCUAGCUAUCUACUUAAUUAACUAACUGGACAAUUAACCACGGAUACUGCAAUCUCUAAACUGUUAAUAGUUAACAGAUCCUUAACCUAUAUUGUAUUGAAUCCAAGGCCUGUUAAUCCUGUUAUGGCUUGUGGAGUUGAUUAACGACUCCAGGGGAUUUAGUAUUAAUGGAAUAUAUAGUUGUAAUAAUUAUCUCCUUUCCUUUUGUGGGUGUUAAACCGAUGAUCCAUAUUUCCAUAACAUGAAUGUCAUCGACUAUUAUUAUAUAUCUGUAAUAUGUGUAUGAAAACUCAAUGUUAAAUACCAUUUGAACAUGAGAUUAGAUUUAGUUGGGAGAGGGGUUCUCGAUCACCAUCUUUUUCGAUCUGUAUUAUCUUGUUGUCGGCGCAUAUAUGGUAUAUGAUUAUGUUCAGUGCCAAUACACAAACUGCCAUGAUGAAUAGGAUGCACGUUAAUAUUUCAUAUCUAUUGAUAAUAUAUUCCCCAAGUAGCUAGGCCACUCUGGCAAAUUAAGUAUGUAGAUACAUGUGUGUACGUACUCCAAUACUUACGUUAAGUACGGACAUUAUGUGAUCCCUGUAACCCUGUUUCACAAUUCACAUAUGUAUUUAAUUAGUAAAUUAGUUAUAUCAGAAGUCAACUGAGCUCUUCCUUUUCAGAUUGCGUUGUAAGAAGAAAAGGAAAGAAAGAAAGAUUGCGUUGUAAGUAACAAGAUCAAUGUUAAGCUGGAUAUAUAGAUGAAGAUGCCGGAUGUUUCUCACUGCUAGGGUAUAAUGUUGGCCAACUGAGAUCAACACGAUCCUAAAUCCUAAAUGAAAUUAACCAGCAACUUAGAGCUAGUCCUCUUCAACUUUAAUUCACUAUUUGCUUAAACGACAGCUUUCGAACCAGGUAGCGCUAGAAGUCCUUCACCUUCUGCAGCUUGUAGCUAGAACAAUAAUAAUUCCAACAUUGACAAACCAUGCAUGCGAUUCGUCUCCGAUGAUGAAGCCAACAGCAGGUUUUGGCACUAUUUCUGGCUGAGAGCAUCAAGUAUGAUAUAGAUUAGUGAAGAUGCGCUAGCUAGGAAUUUUGAUGCAUGGGGUUUGAUAUAUGCAUCUCAUCUCCCAGAAAAUAUAACUGCAUCAAUUAAAGGCUUUAAAACAAAUUAAGCUGUGGUCGAUCUGUAAAAUUUUAAAGCAUCAUCUAUCAUUGCAGCACAGUAUUGAGUAUUCCCUACAUAUCAUUUUGGAUCUGAAACCCAGGGGAUCCUAUGAAUGUCAUGCCCCUUCCAUAUCUGAUAUAUAUCUCCCAUAAGAGAGAUCAUAUCAUCAGAAUCAUAUUGAUUCUAGCUACCUUCGUUUUUCACAUUUCUCAUCCACCGUCCAGGAUCGAAACUGGGGGAGCAACAUAUAAAUCAUAAUUAUUGGUUAGUGUAUAUAUAUGUCAUCAUCAUAUAUAAAUAUAUGUAUAAUUUUUGCUUCCCCUUGGUGUAAUUCUCGUCGACCACGUACAACCAGCCAAAAUAAUGAAGGUCUUUUCAUUUUAGUUCGAGUAGGUCCUUCGCUUAUAUAUACACAAGUAUAGCUGGCCAGGCCACCCCCGUCCNNNNNNNNNNNNNNNNNNNNNNNNNNNNNNNNNNNNNNNNNNNNNNNNNNNNNNNNNNNNNNNNNNNNNNNNNNNNNNNNNNNNNNNNNNNNNNNNNNNNNNNNNNNNNNNNNNNNNNNNNNNNNNNNNNNNNNNNNNNNNNNNNNNNNNNNNNNNNNNNNNNNNNNNNNNNNNNNNNNNNNNNNNNNNNNNNNNNNNNNNNNNNNNNNNNNNNNNNNNNNNNNNNNNNNNNNNNNNNNNNNNNNNNNNNNNNNNNNNNNNNNNNNNNNNNNNNNNNNNNNNNNNNNNNNNNNNNNNNNNNNNNNNNNNNNNNNNNNNNNNNNNNNNNNNNNNNNNNNNNNNNNNNNNNNNNNNNNNNNNNNNNNNNNNNNNNNNNNNNNNNNNNNNNNNNNNNNNNNNNNNNNNNNNNNNNNNNNNNNNNNNNNNNNNNNNNNNNNNNNNNNNNNNNNNNNNNNNNNNNNNNNNNNNNNNNNNNNNNNNNNNNNNNNNNNNNNNNNNNNNNNNNNNNNNNNNNNNNNNNNNNNNNNNNNNNNNNNNNNNNNNNNNNNNNNNNNNNNNNNNNNNNNNNNNNNNNNNNNNNNNNNNNNNNNNNNNNNNNNNNNNNNNNNNNNNNNNNNNNNNNNNNNNNNNNNNNNNNNNNNNNNNNNNNNNNNNNNNNNNNNNNNNNGGGGCCUCAAUAUUUAUUAUAUGGUGUAAAUAUAUGACAUGGGGAUAGAUGUGGUUCAGUGGUAAGUAGUGUAAACAUGUCUCCCAUUACCUGGGUUUGAAUCACACAAGUCAAGUUCUUUUUUUUUUUCAUUUUUAGUUUCUUAGUGUUUUUUGUCUUUCUUUUAUUUAGUCAUUCAUAUAUUUUUACAUUUUCAUUGUAGACUUUUAUUUACUAUUUCAUACCUUUCGCACUUUAAAUUUUUUUGGGUGUUUCACUAAUUUCAGUAUCAUUUGACACCCUAUUUCUUUCUUAGAUUUUUUAUUUUUAGCACCUUAAAUUUAUAAGAUUUAUUUUAUACAUUUAGAUUAUAUCCUUUACCGUAACGUAGUUCAUCAAACUAUUUUUUUUCAAAUCAAGUAAUAACUAUUUUCAUAUCAUUUAAUAUAUAUAUAUAUAUAUAUAAUGAUCGAGUUAAUAGUAAAAUAGUACUUAUAUAUUAUGUUAAUUUGUUUUGCCGUAACUAUUUUAUUAUGGGGCUACAAAAAAUAUUCGCCUAUAGCCUCCGGACACACAGGACCGGCCUUGGUCCUCUCUCCUACCUAAGAUUUUUUUUUCCAGUUUUAGAUUUUAAGAGUGAAUGUGUGAGUCUUACGUACACCUAACAUGAUGGAAGUUGGAUUAGCCUCGUUAAUAAUAUAGAUUCUUGAACAACUAUUAUCAAUAAAGUUUUUUUUGAUAAGCUAUUAUCAAUAAAGUUAUUGCAUGCAUGUUGCACAUGUAUAAAGAAAAUUGUGGCAAAUAUUUUGCAAGCAGUCACUUGAUCAUGAUACACAUCCGGCCCUCUCCAAAUUUGUUAUCAUAUAUGACUACAGAAAAUGAUAGGUCACCAACUCACCAUGCUGUGGGAAAUCUUUGAUCCUUGCAACUUAUAACAGAUAAUCUGAUUGCUUUGAUAACGAGCUCGGCAAGGAAACAUAUAUAGGAAGCAAUACCGUACCUUAUGUAAAUAGGCAUCCUGCUGUGCAGCCCUUUCAGCCAAAUAGGCACAAGUGAUCGAAAAUUCACCGUAAAUAUAUAUUUCAUCAUUAUUGCUAGCUCCAAUCUUGAAUAUAUGCAUUUCAAUUCAAGUGAAUCGACCCUGAACAUGAUACCUCCCCUGAUCAAAACUAUCAAAAGAAGUUAUGUAUUCACGUACGUUUUAGGGAUUAUAAGAAGUGAUCUAAAAAUCUGAGGUUCGCUUCAGCCCGGCCAACCAGGUUUAUACCUAAAUCUGCCCUGUCGUGAUUGUAGCACCAGCUGCACUUUAUUUCAUCAAAGGAAAAAGAAAUGUCAAGCACUCAAGCUGACUUAAAUUAGGAAUUUUAUAGGGUACAUACUUGUUUGUGAUAUCUACAUUUACUAAUAUGACAACAAAUUUGUUGUUGUUUAGGUAAAGAUAGUCAUUACUUGAGUAAUUUUUGUUCUAUUAGAGGUGAUUACUUAACUUAAAAAAAAUUUACAAGUUUAUAAACAACUUGUUGUCAUUGUAGUAACUUGGUUCAAUUAUAUGUAAAUGUGUAAAACAAAUAUCAGUCUCAUGGCUCGCUUCUAUAGUACAUGAACUUGGUCAAUUAGACAAUUUGAUUUUGAUGUAUAGUGUUAGGUUUAAGUUAAUUAUAACAGUUUUGGAACUAUGCACAUCUACGUGAUCUAACCUAGGAAAACCUUAGUUAGCACUAUCAAAACCCUAUGGACAAGCUCUACUUCUGGGUAGGGAUCUCGAAUAUGCCGAAAGCUCUUGAGAAGGACCGGUACAUUAGAAACACUACUACUGUCGUAGGUAAGUACAUCUGUAAAGAUGAAAGAUUUUUUUGCGACAACAGAGCAGAUUAGGGUUAGGGUUUCUCAUGCCCUAGAUCGUCCCUUUUAUGGAAAAAAAAACUCUCAAAAUUAUUAAUGGUGUGCUUGUAGAAAUUAUAUUUCAAUUUGAGAAUCUGAUUGGGUUGUGUAAGACAUUGUAAUUUGAUUCAGCAUGAAAAUGACAUUUGAGUCAAGGUGUGGGGUUGGGGGGGGGAGAGAACAAACCCUAACCCUAGUUCAUCAAAGUUGGUUCUACCAGGGUCCUUUUUGACAACCAAAAUUGGUUUUACUGAUGCAGGUUUCCAAUUCAAGGGUGUGGAAGCCAUCGAGACCAGCCAUCUGUGGUACGAGGAUUGUUUGAUCCUUAGCCAUCCCAACGUAAGCCAAUCAUCAUUAGUCGAGAAUCCAUACUAGAAGACACUGAUCCUGAAACCCUUGUCUUGGUUGCCUUAAAGAGUAAGAAGACGGUUGAGCCAACGGUGGAGUCACUGAAAUAGGGACGUCCUUAGUCUCCUAGUGCCUCUCCUAAGAAGCUAAAGCUGCCGAAUGGAUCUGCUAGUGAAAGUCCUCUGUGCUCCCUCAAGAAAUAGAAGACUCUCAUUCUUAGAAUCACAACAAAGGCUCUUGGUCUAUUGGAUGAAGAGACGAGCUCUGAUAGUGGCAAUGGAAUGGUUGUUGAAGGUAAGAAUGGAAGAGAGGAAGGCCAUUCGGUUCGAAGAAUCUAAAGAACCUCAAAGCCGAGGAAAAGGAGGAAGAAUGUGGUGUGACCAUGCAAGCCGGUAACAUGCAGCCUAGCCCUAACCCCAAGGGCAAGGAUGCUCUUUAAGUUUUUUCCAUUCUUCGCAAUAAAUUAGCCCUACUCUAGGGCAAGGAUGUUUUUUAAUUUUGUUUUCCAUUCAUAACACUAGCCUAUUUGUCUAUAUGUUAGUAGAAAUAAGCUUACAGAAUAAGUGAACACAAUUAUAAAAAGUAGUCUAUCUUAUGUGCCAAAUGAGGUAUAUGUCUCACAACUACUUGUCUAUGUCUAUCUGUAGAUGAUAGCGGUAGAGUAUGUAAUGACUGCUUCUAGACUUCAUUUUAUUUAAAUUAAUGAAAGUCAUAACUGACUACUUAAAAAAAAAAAAAGCUAUAACAGUUUUGAUACUUGACGUUGCCUAGCUACUAUACGAACGAAACACUGCACUGCUUCUCUGGCGCUAAAGAGAUACUCAUGGGGAAGACGAAGAGAAGCAAGAACAAUUUAUGGGAACAUGCUAUUGUGGGUUGUCGCCACACAUCCAACAUGGUUCGUCCUAAAAAUCAUCUCGUAUAAAUGAUCUACCUCUUGUCCGUGAUAACUAACGGACCUAAUUAAGCGGAGACGCACAACAAGGCAGGGGCGGCGGCGGCGGUACAGGUGUUCAAGCGCCGUCCCUAGCAUCUAAUUAAUGACAUCUACCUUGUUGAACAAGUUGUUUUGGUCGAGGUUUAUGCUUCAAUUGAAGUAACUCCCAAUUUAUCGAGCAGGAUUCGUACGUUCUCGUUCCUACUUCUUCUGUAUCACUCUUCCAGAGUUCCAGCAUUGCAUGAAAACGAGGGAGCUGCACACUUCUCUAUACGCAUUUUUCUUAAGAUGAGUUGAUUCAUGCCUCGCUAUCUUGCUGGGAAUAGGAUGAUCUUAAAUCAAGCUCUUUAUUAGGGAACUCCUUUUUGUAGACGUGUAGCUGUAUUGUUAAUGUUCUGGAACCCCUUUGUUUUGAUAAAUUUCUCCUCUGCAUAAAUAGUAUUCUAAAAGAGCCUUUGGUAUUACUCGAUAAAUGAUGUAUCAAUAGUUCAAAAACUUCGCUGCAUCGCCCAUAUGGCUGAUAUUAUUGAUUAGCCAUGGCUUUCGCUUCCUAAGAUUUUCUCCCUGCGAAUGAAUGUGAAUCAUAUAUCCAACAUGAAAGAAACUGGAUCAAGUUUAGAAAAUGGAAUGCGAAACUGAUAAGAACGUAAUGAUUUCAUAGCAUUUGAUAAUAUAUGGCAGGGAGUCAGGGAUAGCAUCUAUUUUGACAAUAUAGAUUUCUGAUCAAUUAUUAACUAUGAAGUUAUCACAUGUUACACAUUGAGCAAGUAAAUUGCAGCAAUUAUUUUCCAACUGAUCACUUGUUACACAAUCCCCAUCUCCUCGAACAUUAUUUAAACGGUCCUGAGACAUCUAAACCCCAAACAAAAUGAGAAAAAAAAAUUGAUUAUAGAAAAGAGAAACCAAGAAGCGCCAUGCUGUGGAGAAACUCUCAUAAUUUAUAACCGAGAUUUUGAUUGCUUCAAAGGAGAGCUCUGCAAGGAAAUAGUGGGAGCAGGUGUUAGACUGUGUAAGAAAUUAGAAACUAACAAGCAAUCAAUCAAUCCUGAAAGCCAGAAUUCAAAACUCAUUUGAUAAAUGGAACAUAUCCUCUGUAGUUCUAUCAAGAGAAACAUAGCCUAGUUCUCAGAAUUCUCACCAGAGGAGCUCCCUGUGCAGCUCUUUCAGCCAAAUAGGCACAAGGCUUGAAAAAUUCCCCGUAGGUAUUUGACCAUUGCUCCAAUCUUGAGUAUAUGUAUUUGGAUCCAACUAAAUCGGCCCAGAACAUGAUACCUCCCCUGUUAAGAAGUGUACCCAAACAAGUUUAGAAGAUAUUUUGGUACAUUCAAGGUAUCCAAACAAAGUUCAGAUAUACAAACCUGUAAGGUGGAAAACCCAUGCCCAUGACUGAAGCAAUAUCAAGGUCAGCAGCUUUUACGGCAAUACCUUCAGCAUACACUCUGCAAGCCUCGUUCACAACAGGGAAAAAGAUCAUUUCCACGAUGUCCUUUUCUGGUAACUUCACUAGCUGUGUUCAAAUGGCACAAAUAGAGUCAGAGAGGAAUAGGUAAUGAUAUUAAUGAUCAGGUACUAUGUUCAACACCCAGCAAAGAUACUGAAGUUUGCUGACUAAAUUUGUAAGUCAUAUAAAUUGGCCAAGAGAAGAGAUCCCCUAGUGGAAGGGCCCUCUUGUGUAUAUAUAAUAUUACAUAUAUGUUAGAGAGAGAGAAAUAUAUUAGACCUUAGCAUCUACUGAAAGCCCAGAAAUGCUCCUUGACUUCUCAAUGUAUUUCUUCAAUUCAGGAUCUGGUUUAGCUUGGCGUUUGUCAUCAUAAACAUAGAACCCUCUUUUUGUAGUUUCACCUAAAAAAGUAGCCAGGAAAAUGAGAAAUUCCAUUCUAAAUAGGAAAAUGAGACAAAUCUGUGCUGAAGUUCAACAGAAGUAAAUACAUAUUUCACUAGCUACCUACAACUUCAAGAACAAUCAAUUACCUGCUCUCCCAUCCUCCUGCAUCAUGGGGAUAAGCAUCGACUUAUAUGUCCGCUCAGGAAAAUUCUCAAUAAAUUGCAUGCCAGUUGCAAUCGCCACACCAAAGCCAACCAAAUCAGCCAAUCUGCAUGAACAAAGAAAAUAUAAAGGAGCGUAAAGGGAAAUUAACAAUACAGGAUCAAAUAAAGUCAUAAAUUUGUGGAAUACAGUAGUAUUACUAACCUGAAUGGGCCCAUGGGCAUUCCAAAUUUGGUGAUCGCCCUGUCAAUCUGAUAUACAUCUGCACCACGCUCAAUAAGCAGAAGACCAGCUUGGGUAUAAGGAAAGAACAUUCUGUUAACAGCAAAUCCAGUGCAGUUCCCAACAACAACCGGGGUUUUCUUUAUCUUCUUCCCAACUUCUAGCAAAUCAACAAUAACUUGUGGAGAUGUCCUAUUAGUGCGAACAAUUUCCAAAAGUGGCAUGAUAUGUGCUGGACUGCAUUAAGAGCACAAGUAAGGGAUCAAUUUCACACUAAAGAAAACCAGAAGAAUUGCACGUAUAAGGGCACAGGUUUAACAAGCAUUACCUAAAGAAAUGGGCUCCAAUAAUUCUAUCAUGGGAUUUGGUCUUUUCUCCGAUAAGGUUCAAGUCGAUUGUGGAAGUGUUACUAGCAAGUAUGCAGUGUUGUGGGCAAUACUUUUCGAGGUCAGCAAAAAUUUCUUGCUUUAAAGAAACCUUCUCAAUAACCGCCUGUUUCAAGCAGACAUGAAUAUUUCAGAGCUUUCGUCGCAUUAAAAGAGCAGAAUCAGUAAGGACAAAAACAAAUAUGCUAUCGGAAUUACCUCUAUGACCAUGUCAACAUCCCUAAAGCUUUCAUAGUCCAGGGCACCUUUAAGAAGAGCAAAUGUCUUUUCAAACUUUUCUGGAGUCAUUUUCCCUUUCUUGACACGGCUCUGCAGAUUGGCUGGACCACGAAAAUGAAAUUUAACUAGUUAGCCAUCAUUAUGCAGCACAAAUUGAAGAUAACUAACAAUCACAGUCCCCCAGUCUAGUGGCAAUAUAAGAAAGAUAAUAAAUCUAGAAGGGAGGGUACUGCCAAAUACCAGAAAUAAAUCUUUCACAAGAAUAAAAGUACACAUCUCGAAACAAGAUACUAUGUACAGGCUUUAAUAUUAAAUGAAUAGUAAAAGCUCACCUUUGACUCUACCAAUCCCAGCCUGCAAGAACUUCUCAUUUACUUCUUUUAGGAUCACUGGAUAAUUACUAAGAAUCAACGCUGUGGUUAUUCCAGAGCCCAUCAACCCUCCACCAAUGACAGCAACCUUAGUCACUCGUCUCGGCAUUAAACCUCGAUCAGUAAUUCCAGGUACCUAUGGUAACACAACAAGCGUACACAAAUUGUAUUAGAGAAAAGGUAGUCAAUAUUCUCGAGGCUCAAAACAGUUUUCAAUUUAAAGUGUGGUAGUGUCACCUUAUACUAUGAUAUCAGAUUAUGACAGUGAAAUAGUAAACUUUCUAUAUCAAUAUAUACCAAAAAGCUUACAGUUGUUAAAUGUACAGAAAGAUUCAGAAAUGAAGAUUACUAGUAAGAAGCUAAGUGUCAAACCUUUGAGGUUCCACGUUGAGCAAAGAAGAUGUGGACCAAGCUCUUGCAAGUGUCAGCACGUAGAAGUCCUUGAAAUUCUUCAGCUUCCUGCAAUAGCCAGAACCAAUGUUUCAAAAUUACAGGUUGAUAAGUUUCAGUAAGCGAAAACAAUACUGACACGGAUAAAGACCUUCCAAAGCCCAGCCCGGCCACCAGAAGCUAUACCCUCUUCAACAACAUCGAUGCAAACCAAUGGAUGUUUGAGAUUGGGAGCCUGCUUCUGUACUUGAGCUCUUGCAAAUUUAAGUAUUUCCCUAGCUUCACCGAGAGGUUCUAACUUGUCAGUCUUAUGAAGACUAGCAACCCAUGGUCUCCGACGCUCCAAGAUAUCCAAGGCCCACCUACGUGCAGUGCUUACCAACUCAUCAGGUGAAACUAAAGCAUCAACAAGGCCUAAAUCAUGAGCCUCUUCCCCUUUAACCGGUUUUGAAGUCUAUUGAUUCACAAACAAAGGGGCAUGGUUUAGCAAUUCAGAAAAUCAUAAAAUGACAGGCUAACUAAACAGAUGGUAACCACAACGCACCAGCAUCAUUUCAAGUGCCUUUGAGAUUCCAACAAGGCGUGGAAGCCGUUGUGUUCCUGAGAAAAUACAAGACUGUGAAUAUUAUGCAAAGAGUAACAUAUAAACAACCAGUAUGUUCUCUAAGUUUCUUUCUCUUAAUGUCUGGAUGAGCUACAGAGCAUGACACAACCCCCACCACCAAUUCAAGUGAGGCCAAUAUAUAAGAAAACUUCAGUAGAAAUGCAUUUCAACUUAUGAACACAAUAUCUCAACAGAUUGUAGUAACCCAUAUGUAUACAUAAUGUCAUAAACUUACCGGUAUGGACAUCAUGUUGAAAUUUUUUUAGAUAUAAACAGAAAUUAUACAAAGCUAGGCAACUCAAAAAGGAUUACAGAUGUGGAAGACAUAACAACACUCAGAACAGUAACUAGGAAAUUAAAUAUUAGUCUAUUGUUAAAUGCAUUCGAGUUCUUCAUUUGCUCAGUCACAACAGCCGCGACCAGAUACAAACAAUACACUUCAAACAUUUGAAAAAUCUAUCUGUACCUCCAAAUCCAGGAAUGAGUCCAAGCUGAAGUUCUGGCAAGCCUAAUUGCGCAGUCGGAGUAGAUAUCCGGGCAUGGCAAGCCUGACAUGAAACCAUCAAAAACUCACCAAAGAAAUCCAGUACAAAAAUAACUUCAGCCAAGGGAAAAACAAAUUACAACACUUACCAUUGCAACCUCUAGUCCUCCCCCCAAGGCCAGGCCAUCAAUGGCAGCAACUGAAGGUUUCCUAGCACCUGGGAAAUUAAGCAAACCCAUCAGUACUUCAAUGAAACCUCCUUACCCAUAUCGUUUCAAUAAAGAGUUCAAAAUGAAACAGAUUACAUACCCUCGACAGCGUUAGUGAUAACCUCCACAGAUAUAUAACCAGGCUUCGGCUCCGCUGUGAAAACACAACACUAACUUGAUAAACACAUACCAAUCCAUUACUACACCAUUCCGAACACAUGAAAGCAGUAAAGUAUACCUUUAUGCCCGCCUUGUAGCCCACCGAAAGCACUAAUAUCAAAUCCGCCAGAGAAUUUCCCUUUCGCACCUGUUUUCCAGUUACGCAAAUCAUAAUUUGCUUCAACACCGAAAUCCCCUGUAAACAACCAAUACCAAAAACAGCUCACUCACCUGUAACGACAAUUGCCUUGACAUCAUCUCUCCUCAUCGCCUCCUCAUAGCUGUCUUUCAAGCCAUACAACACUGCAAGAUCACAGACGCAAAAAUGAGCACAAUUUCGAAUCAAUCAGAAACAAGAGUUGAAAUUUAGCCAAGAAAAUAGAUACCAUCAAAGGAGAGGGAAUUGACAGGAGGGUUGAUGAUGGUGAUGAGAGCCACCCCAUCAGCUCCCACCUCAAGAACCGUCCUUCCUUUAACGUUGCUACCCAUUUCCACGAGUUUGUUUCUUUCUCUACUUUCUUGCUACGUCUAGUUCUGAUGGGGAGGAAGAAGAAGAAGAGUACAAGUUUUGAUUUGGUUUUGUUAGAGAUUUAAAUGGCGUGGGACGUCGGACAGGUAUGAAGUGACGCCUGAGAGUGAGAGAGUGGUAGCUCGAAACGGUCCGGCAGAUCUGUGAUUCCAGUAGCGUGACCAACUUAACUUGGAGAUCGUAUUCAUUAACAGGGCUCGUGUACGGCACGCGUGCGAGAUGCGCGUCGUGGCGGCGAGGCGGAGGUGGGCUCCGUUUAGGAAAAUGAUUUUCCUUGAAGUUUUCAAUAUGGGUAACGAUCGCGUUUCAUAUUGUCAGCGGCCAAUGAGAAACGUACAGAGGUGGAACUAUUUUGACGAAUGAUUUCGUGACGGAUUUUUAAUGGAGGUAGUGGAGGUGAUUGUGUAGAGACGAGCGUGGAGGAUUACACCCGGGGGAUAAACGGAUCAGGGAGACAAGAAUAGUAUGUUUCGCGAUUUACGAUGCAUGUUGUCUAUGGCAGGACCAGGCCUACAUCGACGCCAAGCCCAUCUUAUAGAUCAGCCCAAUUCAUUUGAUACCGUAUUAGCUAGGCAAAUGUAAUCAAAAUUCAGCGCCAAGGAGUCGCUAGGCAUUAGUGCGGCGGUCAAAACAACCUAAUCAACCUAGACAGAGUAUCUUCAGUACACGGUGUAUAUCUUCACAUAUAUAUAUGGAUUGUCAGGAAUAGAAUAAAUGAUAUAAAAACAUGGUGAUCAAACGUAUAAAUUGUUAUUAACGAUUAAAAUUGUGUCGUGUAAAUACACGUCACGCAUAUAAGAAUUUCCAAGGUUUAUGAUGCAUUUAAGUUUGGACUCCCAUCAAUUUGUGAACAGCAAGUUUGAGAGGCCUUUAAAUUUGUGCAAUUGGUCUGGUUUUUAUUUUUAUUGAGAUACUCUCAUAGACCGAAUGCUGACAAAAUGAGCGGAUUAUUAACGAAUAUUGAUUAAGUAAGUGGGUUACUAACUUGUUAACGUAACGGAUUGCUACAAAAGAGAGUGCGUAUACAGCUACAAAAGAGAGUGCGUAUACAGUUAAGGUGAGGAUCUGAGCGAUAACGUACCGCAUAAGCCUUGCUUAGCGAGCGGUGAUAAAGCGCGCAAUUAAGUUUUUUCAAAAGCACCAAAUACCCGCUCGAAAAACCUCCCAACUCUUUCCCAACCCCCAAACCCCAGACCCCUUCUUCCUCCACCCAACCGCCACCAUGAGCGCCACCGCACCCACCACACCACCUCCAACAGACUCCGAUAUCAUCCGCCUAGCACAAUCCUACGCCCCAAUCCCCUCCUCCCUCCUCUCCACCCAAUCCCACCCAACCCUCCUCUCCUACCUCACUUGCCGCUCCCAAUCCCCUUCCCCAUCCCAACCAGUCUCCGACUACACUCUCUCUCUCCUCUCCCUCAUCUCCCAAUCCCCCCACACCCACUCUCUCUCCACUCUCCUCUCCUCUCUCCUUCUCUCCUACACUCGCCUCUUCACCUCCUUCCAAAUCCCACACGACCCCAACUCCCUCAAAACCCUCCAACUCUUCCACACACUCUUACCCCACGUGCCCUCUCCUCAUCUCCCCCAAAUAAUCGACCCCAUUUUGUCAAUUCUCCCCCGAAUUCUCGACUCCGAAAACGCCCAGAUUCUUGAUCUCCUCCCCCGGUGCUUGAGCCUGAUUCGAAGCUCCGACGAGGUCGAACGCGGCGGCAAUGUUGUUAAUUCCGUGAUUGAUCAGAUUCUGGAGAUCAACUGGUCCAAGGGACUGUUGAUCAAGAUGGUUUCGAUAGUGAGGGACUUCCCUGUUCUUGAUAAACUGCGGGCCAGAGAGUUUGUAGACAAGGUGUUCGACGGAAUGUCUAGCUUGGACUUGCAGGACCUGCCGUCGCUUGUGUACCAGUUGCUGGUUCUGGCGUCGAGGGGGUUUGUUAAGAAGGAUGUGGUUGAAGGGAUUGUGAUGUUUUUCGGGGCGAAAAUGGGGAGGAAGAAGGCGAGUUCUAUUGUUAGGCAAGUGGAAGGGACUGUGUUGCUUCAUGUUAACUUUGCGGUGAAGCAGGACCCUUCGUUGGGACAGGAGGUGAUGGGGCUUGUGAAGUCUGAUCUCAGGGCUUUCAAUCAUUUCACUGUUGCUGUUUUAUUAUCGGUUUCGAGGGUGAGGAAGUUUGGUGAGGCGUCAAUGGGGGCUCUGAAAAUGGCGAUUUUAACUGCGUAUCGUGACUACAAGUUUGCCAAGUAAGGGUUGGAUGCUUUCUGUUUUAUUACAUUUUUGUUUGAACCCUUCCUUGUGUGAAUAGUUUCUAUGAAUUGGUACUUUAUCCGUUCAUUUGAUACGGUAGCAUUUGAUCUAGUGAUAUUUAGGACUACCCAAACUCCAGCCUAGGCUUGGCAUGAAUACCUUUCCAUGUUGUUCAAAUCCCUGGUUUGGAUUUUGAUUAAUAACUGUGCGAGGAUGAGGACAUUUCUUUAUGUACAAAUACAUUAUGUUUUUUGUUUUGUUUUUUAUUUUAUUUUUUAUACUCGUUAAAAACAGAAGUUAUUUUGUGUUACACUCCUCGAGUAGGUAACUAUCUGCAAACUCUUUCAAAUCUUUCAGAGACUGUAAAUGGAUACCCGAUGACAUGAAGGAAGAAUAUCUGCAGAAUGUCAAAGUGGUCGAGAAGGCCAUGUUAAGAGCGGUAAUUGCCUGUUUUAUGCUACUUUAUUAUAGGAGAAACAGUUGGUUGAGAUGUAUGAAAAUACACAUAAGUUCUGUAGCAUAAUUUUUUUUCCCCGUUGGUUUUAGGUUCACGAGAGCAACUAUGGAAGGGAACACAUUGUUCCUAGCAUUUUGCAGUUUGCUUUUGUAUUGCUAGAGUCAGUGGAAGAGGGGAAUUAUAAAGAGCUCUGCAAUUUAAGUGGUGUGUUAGGCAUUGAGGAGCUUGCUAUUCAGAUGCUAAAAGCUAUAUUUGUGGCCCAUGAUAUGGCUAGAAAUGAGGUCAGUGAAACUAUAUAUCUAUUGAGUCACAUUAAAAAUGUUAAUCCUAUAUGUAGUUGUAGGGUUGGGAGGGAAAAACAAGAGAAUGAUUGUACAUAAUGCUAUUUAUAAAAUGUCUUCAUAUGGUGUGCAAUAAUACUACUGGGACUUUGUCUCAUGUAGAGCUGAGCAACAAUUCCCACAUGUUUAGCUGAGGGAUAUAAUUUUUCUUUUUCUAAGUACAUCAGUAAAUGAAAUUGUUAUGAAAAAAAUAUAUGACAGUCAUUUUGUUUUCCUUUAAAUGAAAUUCAAUUUGAAAAGGCUAAUAGCAUGCAAUUAGAAGAUAUCUUGAGAUACCCUACCUUGUUGGGGGAGCCCUGUUUCAAGAGUCAUCUAGCCAAGCCAGUAGCAGUCAGCAAUAACUAAUCUUUUCAAGGUCAAAUGAAAACUGUUACAUUUUUUUGUUGGGGGGAACCAUGUUUAACCUGUUGACGUCCAUAACUAAUCCCUUACAAUCAAUCACUCACCAUUGUUGAUACAUCAAUUUUCCUGUAGAUUAUUGAGCAGUGUAAAUUUCGGAUCCUUUCUUUGAAGCCAGAGCAGAGUAUGGUAAUCAUAAGGUAAUUGAAGUCAACUACACAGCUCUUAUGCUAAGUGUUUUUUAUGUUAAAAAGUAAUUGUAAUUUCAUGUGCAGACUACUCAGUAAUCUCACUCAAAGUUAUCCAUACCCCAUGUUAGAACAUGUUUCCCGUCUAAAGGAACUGUUGGACUACUUCACAUUCAUGCAUGGCAAGGUUGCUGCCCAACUUGUUACUGCUUUGUUGCCUCUCAUCAAGUUCAGCCGUGAUCUCAAGGUUCUUAUUGUUCCGUUUAUUUCAUACUUGUGAAUUGUGAUACAAAUUCCUUUUGCAGUAUUGGGAAGCUAAACUUUACUAUAAUUACCUUGAAUGGACACCGAAAUUCCCGGUUUUAAAAUUGAAUAGUCCAAUAACAGUUGGUAAUAUUCAAUAUUGUACUGUAUACUGCAUUUUAAUGACACCGAGUAAAUGACAAAUGUGCUGAAUCACUCUCAUACAUGCAUAUCUUAGUACAAAAGUGCUAAGAUAGAAGCUAGUAUUUUGUUGAGGUAUAUUUAUGUACUUGUUUAAUUGUGAUGAUGCAGGAUUACACUAUUUUGGUAAUGCGUAAGGCGAUGUUUAGACGAGAAGAUACUAUUCGUCUUGCAGCAACCAAUGCUGUUAUUGAUUUGAUUCUGGCAGAAAAGCAAUCCAAGAAAGAUGAUUUGUUGUCUUUUCAAGAGUCAUCUAGCCAAGCCAGUAGUAGUCAGCAAUCUGAGGUACCCUACAAUGUGAGGGGAGGCCUGUUUCAAGAGCUGAGCGGUCUAUUGCAGAGAUGUCUAUAUCAACCGGUGCUGUAAUUAUCUUGAGUUUCCCAUUUGCAUUAACAUAUCUGUCUUUUGUUUGAAUAUUGUCUCUGACUAUAAUGGGUUACUUUAUUUUAGGCAAAUGUCAAAGAAGUCAUGUAUCAUGGACUUGUGAAGCUUGUUUUGAUGGACCCAUCUAGUGGAGGGGCUGUCUUUGAUUUUCUGUUGCCUCACUUCCUCCAUUUCUUUAAGGAGGUAGACUGCAGAUGCUUCUUGUUUCUGAUUUUCUGAUUUUUUCUUUUACAUUUAACAUAGACUAUGCUUAACACUGAAGUAUUGGCAGGAUGCAGAUGUUCAAUUAGGAAUUAGCUGCUGCAUAAAAUCAGAGAGUGGCAAAGCUUAUGUUGAAGAGCCUUUAGAUUGCCUUCUAUCUUGUGUUUCUCGGAUGUUACUUCUACAACCAAAUGGAAAAACUGAGAAAGCCUUGAAUUCUUCAUGGGCAUGUUUGGGUUUCUCCCUUUCCCAAGAAAACGAGGUAUGUGAAGAAACUCAUGCUUUGGAGAAUAUAUGAUUUUGUUGUAUCUUUCAUAUUCUUCUUGUUAUGAUACUUAAUCAAUCGUAAACGCCUCACAGCUAGGAAGAAGUUCAUCUGCUGACACAUUCUACAGUUCUAUCUUGAAGAUACGGAAGUCUCUUCGAAAUCAGAAUAUUGAAGGUAGGAGGGUUUAUUAAACUACGCUGUAUCUCACCUCCCUCUUUUCUAUCGCUCAUCUCAUCUGUUAUUGCCAAAUCGGGGGAUUGCUUUGUUCUGUAUUCUUGGAUUACAGGGGAUUUGCACUUGGUAGAACACUAGCAAAAAGUGAAUCAAGAAAACAAAAAAAAAAGGUGUAUUAUGCUUUCUCAGAUAUAUGUUACCUGCUAGGUUUAAAUUUCUCUGUUUCUCAUCAAGCUGGUUUAUAAGCAACAGUUAAAAGGAAUUAAGUUAUAUUUUCCUAGUUGGUAAUGUCCGAGGAAUGAAAAAGAAAGGUUUUCAUACUGUACUUGCACCAUUUGCUAUUUGAAGGGGAUUGACCCUACUCCCCCUUUCUCCACUACCAAAAUGAUUGUUGUGGGUCAUGAUCAGACUUUCAAGUUAUUGUUUACAACGUCUAUCCCUCACGAAGGGUUGAACUAAACAGUGAUUGUUUAUUCCUAUUUAAGAUAAAUCCUCCUUAACUGGUUUCUUUUUGUGUCAGAUCAGACAUCUUUGGUCAAACUCAGGAUGGAGGCUCGUCAUCUUUUGAAGACAACAAAAGAAAAUGCUCCGCUUUUGUUUUAUCUGGAAUUAUUGAGGUACUGGUGAAUGCUAUUGCUACUGACUUGGACAAAGCAUCGGACAGAAAGAAAUUAGAUCUUGAAAAGGAGAUUAUUCAGUUUGUUGAGAUUCAUCAUUCACUUGACAAGGAUACAUGUUUCUCCAGCAAGAGUACUGCAGUAAGAAAAGGGAGUACUCGCACUCCUGCUCAUGAUAUACUGAACAACAUCAAUUCAAGCCCUAAAGAAAUGCAAGCACGGGUUUCCUUCUUUACAACUUCAACCAUAUAUCAGAUAUUGCAAACACUGUUGAGACUACUAGAUACUGAUUCUUCUCAUAAUGUUGAAGCUUCCCAACUGCAUAGUCAGUCUACCAGCAAGACCUCCAAAUGCAGCUCUGAAUUUAUUUCUUUUGUCUUGAAUGAGUCCCUCAGUCAUAUAAAAUCUUCCAUUCUUCUGCGAAAUGAAGACCCUUUGAGAACUUUAAUCUAUGGGGAAAUCAAGAUGCUGGGAUCUCCCUUGUUGAAACUAAUUUCUUUGUUCAAAUCAGGGCCAAAGUUGGUGAUGGAUCAAAAGAAAAAGGAAACGAAGGGCAAAAAAGAUGUUGGACGAAGGGAGUAUCUUCAUCUAGCCUUGAGUUGCUUGAAGGAAUUGAUAAUGAUUUGUUCUAAUUCAGACUUGACUGGUUUGCUUGAAGACAUGGUGUUAAUUUCCACUCUUAAGGAUGCUGAUUUGAAUAUUGAAUGCGAAAGAGCCUCUAGAAUUGAGGAUCCACAUAUAAGAAGCAUAGAACUCUUCAUUUUGAAGACAUUGAAGCCUCUAUUCUCUGAGCUUCUUGCACUUUCAUUAUUUGGUGAAGUUGAGGUAAUCAGCACUUGCGAGUUUUCUGAUCCAUACCUUCUUCUUUUCCUUCUGAAUAAAAGAUUUAAUGAUUUAUAGUUUUUUUUCUUUUCUUUUUCAUUCAGAUAAUUUGUGACCUGAUAUUGAUGAUUGGGCGGAAAUUGCCAUGCCAAUUGAGGAACUCCCAUGGAGCUUGGGCUAUUAGUGUUUGCAAAAACAAUGAAAUUAAAAACACAAAGGCCGGAAAAAGUGUUGUGACACUUGCUAUAUGUUUAAGUUCCCCUCCAAAUGAUCUAGCUAUAUCCCAAGACAUGGCCAGAGAGCUGUUGCAGGUUAUUGGAUCAGAGGGAGACGCCCCAGAGGAGGUUUCCCAGAUAUACCCCACCAUAAACCAUCAAACAUGUUCGGUGAUAAGUUCCUGUAUACUGCACAUUGUUGAAUCAGUUGUAGUUGACAUGGAUUGGGCCAUCAAAAAACUGAAGACAUUCUCUUUGGUCUCCCAAAAAGGGAUUCAUCUGAACCAGAACAGUGAGGAAUCUCCUGAGUUGGCAUUUGAGGAAAAUCUCUAUUCUAGGGCAGAAGCAGUGGUGAAAGUACUGUCAUCUUUUGUUUCAAUGAGCCUGAAUGGUAUAUGCAGUUACUAUAGUUAGUAUUGAUUUACUAGAAGAUUGUAUAACACUACUGUUUAUUCACUUUGCUUUAAAUUGUGCAGAUACACAAGCUGAAUUUGUGCUUCGUUUGGCAGCAAGGUUCUACAAGCAUUUAGCUAAGAUGUCAAAGCUUAGGAUUGCUCCAAAAGGUUGUCAACAGAUUUUUCCAAGCCUGAAGUUUCAGAAGCUUGUGGAGGUAACUUGCAAGGAGCUGACAAUUCCUCUGUAUAUCUUUGUGGAAAUUAUGCAGAAGGUAUAAUUCUGAUCCUCUUUGCAUUGUUCGUCUUAUGUCACUCUUUCACAUUAGUUGCACUAUCACAUGUUAUGUUAGUUAUGAUGGUUUAUCUGACUAUGGGGUUCCACCAUUCUUGUAUUGCAGAAACAACAAGCCAAUGCCAACAAAAAGGGAAUCAUCAACAGAAUAAAGAGGGAGAACAGAUGCAUCCCCGACCUCAUAUUUCAGAUAGAAGAUUAUGAGAAAUAUCUCAUCCAGCUGUGCAAGGUGACCAAAGUAAAUUUAUUAAGGCAUGCCAAGCGUAGCACUGCACGAGACUUUAGAAUACAACUAAAUGAGGAGAGCAGGGAAGAAGAAGAAGAAGAAAAUGCUCCAACUUCUGAAGCAAACCAUGACAAUGAGAAUGCAGUUGAAAAUGAGUCUGCUGAAGAUCUUGAUGAUAAUGAAGGAAAUGGGUCAGAGAGGGCUUUGUCACCGGAUUAUAUUAACAAUCCCCCGGCUGUGGAGGAUUCGGGCUCUGACAAUGAAGAAGGAGAUGAUCAUCCUCCUAGUGCCAAGAGGCUGAAGAGAGUCAACAGAGUUGUGGAGGACUCUGAGGAUGAAGCCUAAACCAAAAUGCAGGACUAAUGGUAUCGUCCAUCAGCAUCUCUUCAUAUUUUGCAUGCUUGUAACUAUAACUCUUAAUAGUUUCAUUUUUGCAAAUUUACAAAUAGUUAGAAGGUUACGGUGAGAUUGAGCAAUCGAAACGUUCGUUCGUGUGUAUAGAGAGAGGGAUAAUUUUAGCUAAUAUGGUCACGGACUACAUUCGAAAUCUCUUUGCAUUAUUUUUCAACACUCAGAAGAAUAGACAAAUAAAAACUGAAAAUGGAAAAAGAAAAAGAAAACACUGUCUACGUCUGUCCUGUAGUAGAACGAUGAGUCGGAGCUGGAAAAAACAGGUUGAAAUUUGGUAGCAAAUUUGAAACCAAAUUAAAUUCCAUGAAUACGACACCGUUUGCGUCCCUUUCCGAUUGCCCUACUUAAAAAUCCUCCGUAUCGUCGUCAGGGAAUCGAUUCUCUGUUUCACUGUUUCUGCAACUGCCAGAACUUUCCCUACAUGUGGUAAAAACAUCUCAGUAAAAGUAAAAGUAAAAAGACCCCCACCCCAAAAGGUUAAUAAACACUUUCCGCGCAGAGACUCACAGUCAGUUACUUGAAAAGUAACAAAAGGAAAAGGUGGAUGUGGUUUAAGCAUCUUCUUCUUCUUCUCGAUUCAGAAAUCAACGGCUCUCUUUCUCUGAUUCGUUAGCCUCAAUCGGAAUAAGAAGACUGCGAAAUGAGCCAAGACGCCAAGAGAAGCGUUGUUCCGGGGACUGUGCCGACGAAGCCGAAUCCCGACGACCGGAAGCCCUCGCCGGCGGUCACUACCUCCACCGGGAAGCGCGUCAUCAUCAAGAGCGCGGAUAUGUUCCAGGACAUGCAGAAGGAGGCCGUCGAAAUCGCCAUCGGCGUUAGUUCUCUCUCUUGAACUUCGUUUUAUCUUUGGAUUUGAUUCGGAGAUAGGUUUUCCGGUUAUGAAAAUUAGGGUUUUGGUUUCAGGCGUUUGAGACUCACAGCGUAGAGAAGGACGUGGCGGAGCAUAUAAAGAAGGAGUUCGAUUCGAGACACGGACCUACCUGGCAUUGCAUCGUCGGUCGCAACUUCGGUAAACUUCUCCGAUUUCAUUUCAUUUCAUUUUCCGGCGUUGUUCAAGAUUUAGGAUGUGAUAGAAUUUGAGUGAUGGUGAACAAAUGUAAAUGGAUAGUGUUGUGGUUUAAGUAGUAGUUGGGUUUCUAUUUUGAUGAAAAUGGAUAGAGCUGUUUAGAUCUAUGCUUUGAUUAAUUACUGGAUUACUGUUUAUGUCUUACUUCAGUUCAUGGCAUUAAAGAGUGCUUAACCUGAUGGGAGAAAACCCGAGGGCGAAUGAGUGUUCUCUACAUGAUCAUAGUUUUGGACGGAUCUUUAUAAAACUCUUACUCGGCUAGUGCUGAAUAAUUGAAAGUCAUGGGUAGGAAUCAGAAAAUCAAGAGUCGUUCUUGUAUCAAAUGCAAUCACGGUUGAAACAGUUGGAAACAGUCUUAUCCCGGAACGUUCUGAUAGUUAAGUGUUGGUCAUCAAAACACUUUCGCAAAUAAGUAAACUUAAUUACUAUCUAAUAUGACAGAAUGGAUGUAAAUUAGCUAUUAAUUUCCAUGCCUUUUUGAGACAACAAAUACAUAAUCAACUUGAGCUUUGGCUUUUAUGUUGUGUGGCGACAUGGAGCAGUAACUGCUUAGCUGGUUUAUUUAGAGGGAGAGAAUUUAGGUGGUUAUGAUAGUAAGAUUAAGGAAGAGAGGUUUUAAGUAUGAAAAGGUGAUACUUGAUGUAUUACUAGGCAAUAGCUACCCAUCAAUGAGUUGAUAUUCUUUACUUUAUAUGUCUAUACAUGAUGGUUUACUUCUGUGUGUGGUGCAUUGUUAUUUGCUUUCCGGCGUUUGCUUUGGCUCAUGCUGUCAAACAAGAUUGGUGUAAAAUUAAAUACCAUCCUUGCUUUGAGGAUUUAUCAUUGCUGCAUAUUUUCUAUUUAAUUGAAUAUCAGUUUGGUCCAUCUCUUUUAAAAUGAAACAAUUGGUUAGAGUGCCAUGUAUGACCAAAGUAACACUCUUUAGUUUCUACUCUGCCAACUCUUAGCUUGAAACCCUUGUAAUAAAAUCUGAGGCUCAACCUAGGUUGAAUAGUUGUUCAUAAUUUUGCUGUUAUUUUUAUUGUCUUCCAUGACCAUCUAUAGUAUGACUCUCAGAAGCACGGGGUUAGCUACUUUGGGAUUCAUGACUUUGUAAUCUGGGCUUGCACUUAUAUUUAGUUGUUAGGUUUGAACUAGCUGCAAUGAUCUCAGCUCAAUGCAUUCCUGAUAGAUGUAUUGAAUAGGAUUUAGGGCAGAUAUAGGUGUCUGAUGCCUUUACUGGUCUUUGGUAUGGCAUCCUGCUCCAGAUGAAACAAUAACUUCUAAAGGAAAUGUUUUCUAAUUCUUUUCUUGCUCCAUCCAGAAUAUAAAAGUUGUGGGUUUAAUUUUGGAUUAUGUGAAGUAUGUAGCUCUUAUCUGGAUCUGAAUCCGAAUAUCCAACAACUUAUGAUUUUGUGUUGUGUAUGCAGGUUCAUAUGUGACUCAUGAAACAAACCACUUUGUCUAUUUCUACCUGGAUCAGAAAGCAGUUUUGCUAUUCAAAUCUGGUUGACCACUUGUGAUGUUGAUAAACAUUGGACGAAAAGAAUGAUGGGCCUGAGCUUGUGAUGCUAUAAUUUGCACCUGUAUGUAUUAAUUGAGAUCUGCUAGCUUGCAAACAUGUGUGUGCUUAACUUGUAUAUCUACAAUCACUUCUACUGGCUUUGAACCGUUGUCCUGAAUUUCAGUCUUUCAAAUGAAUGAUUUCUCUGAACUUUUCAUGUUUAAUCUCAAAGCUUCUCAUAUUAGUGAUAUCACUUGCGGAUGAAGUGAAAAAAAAUUUGGAAAUAGAUUUGGAUGUCCCGUGGAAACCAAAUCAGUUCAUUGUGUAAAAACUUGGAAAUGAAGAUGCCAUUGUUCUUUUCUUUUAUUCUCCUUGUUUAUUUUGUUCCCCUGCAGUCAAUUAUGACCUGAUUGAGGUAGAAUUAAAGCUAAUGAAUGCUCACUGUUCUCUAAUCCCUCCAUUCAAACAUGCUAGUGAUGUUUGAUGGAUGAUUUUGCUUUUACUUGCUUCACUUGUACACGGAUCUUUAUUACAUUCUUGUAAGACACUUAAAUGGGUAGACACAAUGACUUGGCUUCUUUUUUCAAUCAUUCAUCUAAUUCGAAAUAUUUCUGUGGGUGGGUGCUCAUCUGUAAACAUAGGAUGCCAGUCUUUUUCUGUCGCAAUGGGGCAGAGAAAGUUCUUAUGUAUCUAGUUUAUAUUUUUUUUUUAUCAAGAGUCAUGUACAAUAUUUUAAUUUUUGAGUUUGAAAAACUGUAGGAUAAACUAUAUGAUUCUAUUCACUUGAACAAAUAUUGGAGAUUCAGAUGCCUUAUGAAUAAUUAUUGGAGACAAACCAUGUCUACUGCAAACAGUACACUAUUGGCUAUUGCUUGCUGUUGAAGCUGUGACCAACUUGAGUUAAAGGAGUCGAAUAGGUAAGUUUGCUUCUAAUUUUCAGUUUUCUUUUUUUUUACUAUGAAUAAAGAAUUCCGACCAUUAGAAUCUCCUCUUUGAGUAAUAUGAUCAAUAUUCUAAAAAACGCUAGGCGCUAGUCGGGCGGACAACCGGCGCCUACCGCUCAGGAUUAAUUGGAUGCCUAGACGGUUUUGUAUUUUUCAUAUUUUUUAUUUUUUAAUAGCAAAUAAAUUUAUAGAAUGCAUUAUAAUGUUCCAAAAUAGCAAAUAUACUGAUAAAUAAAUAAAAUGGUCAACUACUAUGUUCUUGGAAAUAAAAAAACAAUUUGAAAUAAACAAAUUAGGCUUUGAUGUGUUAUGAUAUAAAAUAAAAUGAAAAACUAAUCGGGCCGCCCAGCCCGCCCAAGCGCCACCCAGCCCGCCUAGGCAGCCGUUUUUCUCGUUGGCGCCUAGUUUGAACAAUUAGUGGGAAAUCGGAACGGUAAGCUGACGCCUAGCGUCUAGACAGCCCUGGGCAGCGUUUUUUAGAACAUUGAAUAUGAUUAAAUUUUUCAUGUCUCUUUUGUCAAUAAACAGAUAAACAUACUAACAUUUUCAACACAAUAGGUUUUUGGUGCUACUAUUAGAAGAAAACGAAUCUUAACAUUGCAAGUACUCCACUAUUACUCAUUCGACGUCCAUUAGCUAGAAUUUGGAAGUUGAAGCUACAUGUUGUUUAUUCUAUUUCUACCCCAGAAUCUCCUUAAAGCUUUUGGCAUGUCUAAGAUACCAUUGAUUAUUAAAGCUCAGCCGCCGCCACCACCAAUCUGUUUGGCUCUAAAUCCUCUAAUAAAGCUAAUCUUGUUUAUCUUAGGAGCAUACUGAAGAAGAUAAUUGGUAUUAAAGUAGUCACGAAAGCGAAGGUUUGGAUGGAGAUAGCUUGGAAGAGAGAAGACAAAAAAAGUUCCCAAAUUUUUUAGGGCUUUUUAUGAUUGAUUGAAUGACAGCUCAUCAAUGGUCUGGAGCUGUGAAAGUUCUUUGAAAAGAAGAGCAUACAGUAUCAGGCUGAAGCAGUAGAUGUUGUUUGAUUAAGAGCAUAAUAAGGCAAAAAGACAAAGUGGUAACUCUUGGUUAUUCCAAUUAGCAUGCUUAUUCCAAGUUCCAAUAUUCAGUACUGCGACAAAAACCAAACAAAAAACAAGAGCAUAGAUUCCAUUCCGAGGUCCUAGUUUCAGGUGCUUAUGUUUAAUGAUCUUAGAAUUUAGACUUUGAAACUAUAUGUUAAUAGUCACUCAUGCGCACCAUUGUUGCCAAAUGAUUGAUACACCCUUUUGCCCUUUUUCUCUGCAUGUUUCACUAUCAAACUGUUGCCUGGUGCCAAACUGCCAAUUAGCAUCGCCUGCAUAGAUAUGAUGUUCCAACUUCCAAUCAUACAUUGCUACUUGCUUCAUCUAGCAUGAAGAUCAUAUAAAAUUGCUCCAUCAUUAAUUGCUUAUACAAAUCAUUCAUGGCAGCAUAGCAUAUCAUCUCACAGAGCGGAUUCAGUGCGCACCAUGGUGGUGCACUUGAAUCUCUCAUGUGUAUUAACGGACGUUAGUUUGACCGUUGCAUGGUUGGUCAGAUGAAGACCCAAAAAAAAGACUCGUCCGCCGCCGUUAGCACCAUAAGACUCCAACAGUCCAACCACAGAACAUCGACUCCCGCAGCUUCUACCACAACCUCGACCACCUCAACAAGGUCUUCAUCGUCGUUGGGUUCCCCAACGCGGCACAGCCUGAUGCCUGGAAAGGAGUGUCCACCACGACGUUGCAGAUGAUGGCGUCGAAGGUGUGGUCGAGAUUCGGACAUGCCUUUCCAGGCAAUCCUGCCCAUCAUCAAUGGCCUCAAAAAGCCCCUCGCCUCCUUGGAAACUUGAACCCAAUCAAAACCUAAAGGCCCUCACCUCCCUGAUGCGCAGAUUGAAAUCUGAUGCCAAAAUACAAGAGCCUCCAAUUUGCAAUCUGAACCCGAUUGAAACCUGAUCUCCCCAGUUGCCCAAGUCCGCUCUUCAAUCCCGGCGUCGCCGUUCGCACCCGAGACUCUGCCUCCCCCAGAAAAGUGAUUGACCCAGUGCCCAGAACCACUACCUCCUCCAUUCACAGGCCACGACUUCACCUGUGGUUUUUUUCCUAAUCUUUCUAAUCUUUCUUGAAUGGGUUCAGUCAUGGCCCACUAAAUAAAUGGCUCAUGUUUUGCCACGUGUUCCGGUUCCUUUGCAGCAUCCCAGAACUUUCUCUUUUGUUUUCCAGUUAAUGAGUGAAAAUGUUUACAUUCUAUUUCCGUAUCAAUUAAACACCGACCUUUAACAUUAUUCACUUAAUGGAGUUCUGUCUAAAAGUUAUUGUUUGUCUCUUGUCUUUGGGUGAAAAUCCAUUCCCGAUAGUUUGGAAAUGACUACUGCAUUUUCUUAUUUAUAUGAAGAAUGUUAGUUACUUUAAGAGAAGAUUUUACAAAUAGUACCCAAGUUAAGUCCAUUCAUCAUUUCUUAUACAUGAAUCUUCAAAACUAUAAGAAUUGUACCCUAAUUAACACCGAAACCGAAUACAAGAAUUCCUAGGCACCGAUUUUUAGAACAUUGUUAUUAGUGUAUGCUUAGCCAGUGUAAAAGAUACAUUCUUCGAGAUUUACUCAGUAGAUUAUGAUUAUGAUUCUUGAUUUACGUACAUCAGAUUGUACUCUUGUAUUCUCUUGUACAUAUAUUCCCAUAUUCAUGAAUAAAAUAUAUUAAUACAAUUCUCUGAUAUUUGUUUUAUCUUUACCCUACAACACCAUGUUAAAUAAAGGUUAGUUCGGAAAAUGGUUUAAUGUACAUGUACAUAAAGUUCUUUAGUUUUGUUCUUGAGACUGCCCUGAAAAAUUAGCUCAUUGUAUUUGACUAAAUAUUAUUUACUCUCUAUACUUUACGCCAUAAAAUAGUUAAAUCUCGCUCUCGUCUUUUAAAUUAAACAUUGUACUCCUUGUUCUUUCAUUUUCUCAUCAAUAUCAAAAAUGCAUGUUAUAUUCCUAACUACUUCUUUUCUAAAUGUGCUUCCUGUUUUUUUAUUUUUAAUUCUUCUUCUUUUUUAAAUGUGUUUUCUCUCUGUUACUUCAAUUCUCUCUCUGAGCUUAUACCGCGACUCAUAAAACUCUCUCCUAGGGAUUAGGGUUUUUUUUUUUUUUCCAGGUUGUGCGGCGAGUUUCUCAGAUCAAUGGCCGCGGUCAUGGCUUCCACUACUGCUUCAGUAACAGCUAGUCUCAUCUCAAAGCUCUCUCUCACCAACGAGGAGGAACCAGUAGAUCUAGGAAACCUUCGAUGCCCUAAAAAGGGUUUUGUGGCUCCUCGAUUCUAUCUCGUGGGACGCCUGAAUACCACUUGUGUAGUCCCUUUUGAUUCAUUCUAGAGCGCUAUUCACUCCAUGUGGAGGCUCUCCAGGACGGUGGACGUCCAAGCAAGGGGCGACAGGUUUUUGUUUACUUUUGCAAAUGAGUGAGAUGUCAACCGUGUGAAGCGGGGUGGACCGUGGGGCUAUCAGCGGGCGGUGCUGCUCAUCAAUGACUAUAAUGGAUUAUCUGACAUUCGAGCAGUAUCUCUGGACUCUGGAUUUGGGUUGAAAUUCAGAGCUUGUCGAUAGCUCUCUCCAGCGUUGUAAUUGCAUGUCUCGUGGCGGAGACUAUUGGGAAUAUUAUGGAGGUCAAUCAUGGUGGUUUCCAACGCGGCAUUGCAAGAGUUCGCCUCACUCUGCCUUUGCACUAACUGGUGCACGUGGUAUUGGAAAAGUGUGGCUUAAAUAUGAGUCAUUUGAAAUCCCACAUCAGAAACGUGAAAGAGUCAUCCUCAGGUUAUAAAGAAUGGUACCACACACACUAAUGUCGAGGCCUUUUGUGUAAAACCUCAUACCCGUUUCUCCACUAGGUGGCUAAAAUGGGGGGAUGAUCGAUAUUAUUGGACCCAUGUGUGUGGGACCCGUGGGGCCCGUCGGCCGCUUUCGUGUAACACUUGGAAUGUUGAAUUAGGGUUUCCCUAGUUGACGUUUUGCCGGUCCAAUAAAAAUAUAAGAGGUUGCUUAUUCGCUACAGGACUUGCUCAAUGAUUAACCAUGGAGGUGAGGUUUGUCCAAGGGAAAAUGAAGAGAUCUCUAGCCCGAUGACAGUGUCGGUUGUUGCUACAGUGCCUCCACUAUAACAAUAUUAGUCAAUGGCCACACAUCAAGUGUAGCCAUUAGGGGUGUUGCAAUUCCCGGUAAGUGUGGCAAAUAGUGAGUAUUGAUGGAUUAUGGGGGAAAAUGUCACACAUGGGGGAAUUGCAACACCUCUAAUGGCUACACUUGAUGUGUGGCCAUUGGUCAAUAUUGUUGUAGUGCUCCUCCUAUGGUUUUUAGGGCUAACACCCCUAAAACCCUAACGACACCUUUAAUGCCCUCUUUGACUUCUUUAUUCCCUAAAUAAAAAAUAUAGGUGCAGAUCCAGGAUGUACCUGCUUUCCCAUCCCCAACAAAGAUUACUGGUACUCGAAAAGAACGUGAGGAGGAAGAGCAGGAGAAUGGUAAGCGCCCAAAGCACGCUUUGGCAUUGUUCCCUCUGCCACUGAAUCCACAGGAGCUAGGGUUUAAGCAGACCGUUGAAGGUGGUUUAAGGCCUUUCGGCAUUGCAAAGAAUGGUAAGUCCCCAAAGAAACAUGGAAGGCCACAUGGUAGCAGAAUUAAGAAAAUAACUAAGGGAGAAGCAUCAGACUCCAUGGCAUAAGCUGCAAGCUCCAUUAUGGAAGAGCCUAGCCUCAAUUCUGAGGCCGGGGAGAAGUGAUCCAUUUUCAGCACUCUAGAGACCCAUGCACAACUACACGUCUGGCUUCCCUUCUUCCUUUUGAUGGAAAGGUACACCAUGAGACUCUUAGGCCUCAAAUCAAAUAGUUGGAGUGCUUGAAUGUGUUGUGCAGGUUAUUGCUUUCGUAAAUGAAAAAUUCCUUUUCGACAGUUAGUUUUCCUUUUCAGUAUUUGGUUCAGUUCUUUACUUUUUCUUGUAGUUCCUUCGGGUUGUAGGCAUCUCAAUGCACAUCGAAUUAUAAUGAGUUCACGUACUCUUAGGCGACUCUAGAUUGAUCUUGUACAAUCGUUGUGGAUUUUAAUCAAUGAAUUUAAUCAUUUUCUUAAAAAAAAAAAAUAAUGCUUUUUCUCUAUUUAAUUUUUUAUUUUUGUGCUUACCUUGACUUGCUCUUCCACCAUCGAUAAACGACGACGAGUAACUUUAGUUCUCAAUAAUUUGCAACCAAUCUCAGUAUAUUCAUGGGUGCAUCAUACAUUGCGACAAAUAAAGAUUUUUUUGUAAUUCGGAAUCGGUAGACGACAACUUUAUCUUCAAGCUGAAAGAUUUCUGCUAACUUGAGUAUAACCCAUAUCUAUUACGUGUUUAUCACUUUCGUCAAAAAUCUUACAUUUUUUUAUCUCUUAGUGAUUUUUUAUUUUUAUUAAUUGCUGAGCAUCUUUAAUGAUGUUAGCCAUUUUUAAGUUAAAUUUUAGUCAAAUUAGCUAAAAUGUCAUUUUAGCUAGCCACUUUAAAAAUACGGCUGCAUCAAUGCUCUCUAUUUUAGCUAACAUUAUAUCAACAUUAUUCUUCAAAUAAAGAUUAAAUAGUUUAAAUAUAUUUAGAUAUCAUGUAAAAUAUCUUACAAUGAAUGUAUUAAAUUAUAGCUAGCUUUAUUUGAGUCAUCUCGCUCUUUAUAUUUAGCUAGCGAGACAUAAGAGCAACUUUAGCAAACUCUCUAUUUUAGCUAGCUUUUAGCUACUUUAGAGAGGGUGUUUAACUUUUUUUGAUAUUUUUAGAGCUCCAGCAGACUAACCAAAGUUUAGUUAUUAUAAUUUUUAGUUAUCUCGUUAGCUAAAUAUAGAGAGCGAGAUGACUCAGAUGAGACUAGCUAUAAUUUAAUAUAUUUCUUGUAAGAUAUUUUACGUGAUAUAUAAAUAUAUUUAAACUGUUUAAUCUUUAUUUGAAGAGUAAUGUUGAUGUAAUGCUAACUAAAAUACAGAGCAUUGAUGCAGCCACAUUUUUAAAGUAGUUAGCUAAAAUAACAUUUUAGCUAAUUUGACUAAAAUUUAACUCAAAAAUGGUUAGUAUUGCUAAAGAUUGCUAAAAAUGUUUUAAGAGCUAAACUUUGGCUAGUCUACUAGAGUUUUGAAAAUAUGAAAAAAAAACUAAAUAAAGAGUAAAAAACUAAAAUAAAGUUGCUCUUAAAAUUUUUUUAUCAGAACAUUAUUAAGACCUUUUAUGGGAAUACAACAAAUAACGUCUAACUUAGCAUCGACAUUAAUUUACUCUGCUACCCCCGCAGACAACCAAUAAAUCAGAAGACCAAACUCCUGUCCUCUCAUCUCCAACAGAGACCCUCUGAGAUGUAAAAAUAGGAAGCUCAUGAACUAAAACAGCAAAAUCAUUCAAUUCCAGCAGUAAAUGUUGUAUUCAAUGUUGCAGUCUAAUCAAAUAGGAGGCUCGAGAGUUAAAGUACGAAGGGGUUUUACCGAAAUAUUUUCAGUCUCAUGUUCCUUGGUGGCAAUAAUCUUCUCUCUUUUUUUCUCAUAGGGACCAUGAACCAUGAAAUUGUUCUCCAAGUAUCUGCACUUAUGUUCUCCACUAAUAUGAAAUAUAUUAUUGUCCCCUCAGUGCGCAAUUUAGACAUUCCCUCUACAAAUCCAUUAGAAAUGCGCAUCACAAAAAGGAAAACACAACACAGAUUUUGCAUUGCCAAAACUCCCAUAAGUGCUAAAGAACACAACACCACACACAACAUAAACCACCACCACCAUUGCGUUUAAGCUUAGAAUAAAAUGCCAUUAAUGCCCUCAGACUGUCACAAAUUACACUCAGACUGUCCUCCAUAGUUUGUGUUCUAAACAAUGGGGGGAACAACCAAAACUAUGGGCUACAAUGCUACAUUAUUCACACUAUCACAUACAACAUGUGAUGGGGGCAAAACUAGUUGGAUUCUCUUGGCCUCAAACCAGGAAACAUAGACACUACAAAAGGGACAACAAGGUCAUUUCGAAACAAAAAAAGGGGUACAAAGGGACACAACUUAAAGAAACCAUUUCUCAGUUCCACUGGUUUUUCUUAUUCUUCUCUCAGUACUCAGUAGGCAAAUCCACCCGCCCCUUUGUUUCGGUUUGAGCCUCGAGAAGAAGAAGCUGAAGAGCUUGAAGAGGAAGAAGCUGUAUUGGGUUUCAUGGCAACCAUUGAGCAGUUCAUUUCCUUGCGAACAAUCUCCUCCUCGUCCAUCAUAAUCUGAUUGUACCUGCACUCCACACUGCAAAAACCCCUAUCUCCCCUGCAUUUUUCAAACCAAGAUUUCCACUUCAGUUAAACCAUGCAAAUUAACAAAACCAAAUUCUGGGUUUCAACAGAAACAGUAAAAUCAGAGAUGGGUUAUUGCAGUUGUUUUUGAGAAAGGUGCGAACUUUGCGCUUGCAGAACCAAAAUCAAAAUCUGGUAUUUUCUAAAAUUGGGAGAGGGCUGUGCCGCUGUGGUUCAAGGUGUGAUUUUUAACUUACUUGUACAUGUAGAUGUCUUUGCCAAGCAAGAGCUUCUGCUUGCACAGAAAGCAUUUGUCAAGAAAAUUGGGAUUUGGUGGCAAAUAGGGAUAGUUGUUGUGAACUCGGGGGUAAUAUGGCAAAGCAGAGGGCGAGAAGGGUUUGGUGUUCGUGUUGAUCAUCAUAGUGGCUUUGUUAAUAACACUAGCGGUAGCAGUAGCACUACUACCCUUUUGACCUUCCAAUACUACACUAAGUCCCACCAUAUCUCAUACUCCACUGUAAUCUCUCUCACUCUGUGAAGCUCUCUUUCACUUGAAAUAUUUCAGAGAAGAAGAGAGAGUGGGGGGCUUGGCUCUGAUGGUGAAAAUCUGAGCAAAAAUAAAUAGAAGGGAGAAACAAAGGCCGCCUAGAGGCGAACGGUAGGACCCAUCACACAGCUAUGGAGCAGUAACAAGGACGAUUAGCGUAGCCAAACCAUUUGACUCCUUGUGCUGGUUAACUGCCACAUACACACAUCUUCUUUCAGUUUCCGAUUCAAUUUUUUCCCUGUUUUGUUUUUUCAUGUUUUGCUUUGUUUUCAAUUUUGGGUUUGGCUGCUUGUGCUUACGGUUUUAGGCUUUUGUUUGCUUGCGUAACUGGUUCUGCUUUAUUUAUGGUGGAGUUAAAGAAAGGGGGGAAAGAAGAUAAAUAAAACGCAGUCCGUAUUGUACUGGUCAUGUGAGAAUCUUUCAAUGGAGGAGUUGCAUGGGUUGUGAGAUAAUACAUGAACCAUCUACACAUUGAAAGCAUGUUGCUUCUUUGUCUCUAUGUAAAAUUGCCAAAAUAUAAACUCAGAGUUUGUAACUUCCUUGUAUUCUUUCUAUUAGAAUCCCUAAUCUCAUUUUAUAUAUAGUAUGUGCUAAUUAUGAUAUACAAGUAGAAAAAUCUGAGAUAUAAGAGUGGAAAACACCCCGUUGUGGAAAUAUAAUACCUACUUUGAAUACUAGCAAUUAUGGAUGAUAUGGGGAAAACAGUUCAAGCCUUAAACGGUAUUAAUUUGUAUGUACAUGAAGAUGAGCGACCAUUGUUUUGGUUAAUGUUGAAAGCUCUGUCCCAACCCACACUUUUGUUUAAUUUUUCUUUGCUUUAUCAACCAAUAGAGGGAGAAAUUUCUAACUCAAUCCGAACCCACUAACAAAUAGGGCGGGCUUUACUAAUUUUGCUUUCUAGAAGGUUAAUAUAUAGAUCGAUAGAGAUGUACCCUUUUUAAAUGCUUCCUAAUUUUGAUAAAAUUAACUUUUUUUGAAAGGAGAUAAAGUAAAUAUAUUAAGAGAAAUUUUAUUAACACAUCCCUAAUUUCUAAAUACACAUCUCAUUCUUAAUACACUACAUAUUAACUUUAUUGUUUUAACAUUUUACUAGAUACACAUACCCAACCUUCCUAUAGUACCCUCAUUUAAAAUACAUCACUUAUUCAUUAACAAAAUCCAUUCACUAAAUACACAUACUUUUUUAAAUCUGCUACUCAAUUUAUUCAAAAAAAAAAGAAAAAAGAAAAAAAGAGGAGUAUAUAUAUAGCAUCAUCCUAAGUUCUAGUUUGGUGUAACGACAUAACAUGCGUGAAUAGUAAAAUUUAAAUUUCAAACUUCAAUCUGUACUAUCGAUAGUAAAACCUUGAUAAUUUAAUAUUUGAUAACCUCGAUUAAAUAAUAUUUUUUGCCAGCCCCGAAAUAAAUAAUUAGCAAAAUUGACGUCGAUAAAUUAACAAUCUCGAUUAAGUAAUAUUUUUUGUCGGUCAUGACGUUAUUAAUUUAUAGAGAUUUAAAUUAUAAGGUUUGGUAUCUUCAUAUACGUUGUUCUCGUAUAGAAGAAAAAAACUCUUAAGCGGGAUAUUUUAUUUCAACAAGUUUUCUUUACUUUUGAUAUGAAUGUCUAUUUUGGUAAUUUUACGAACCCACAAAGUCUUAUAUAAUUUCAUAUAUUAAUGCUUCAUUUUUCUCAAGAUAUAUAUAUAUAUAUAUAUAUAUAUAUAUUAAUGUUUCCUAACCCCUCAAUUUAAAAGGUUACUGAAAUGAUAUUAAUUAUUCUAUUUUAACAUUUUUUUUAAAGAAGGGUGGGUGCAGCUCUUCUUUAAAUUGAAUGUCGGUGUCGUAUGGUCUCCGACUAAUAUGUGGUUCAAAUCGAAUGUCAGUGUCGUGAUGGCAGGGAGGACUCGAUGACGUCUGUGGUCUGGCGUGGGAGGUACGACGGUGGCUAUGCGCAGGCGGUGAUGCGGUAGCCAUGCGUCAUAAGUCCCUUCUUCGUGAAAGAGUAAUUAAAGUGUGAGCUCCUGAAUUUGACUCAAACAACAAGUUCUCUUGGAGUAACUUAAGAGUAAACAUAAAAACAAACCGUGAUUUCUUAUAGUUUUUAAGAAUGUGCAAACUUAAAACUUUAGUUUUUAAGAAUGUUUAGUUCUAAAACCCUAGAGAGCGGCGUCAAACUCAAACCUCCAUGUCUGGUGACGUGCCUUGUUGAUGUAGAACAGACGGCGAUAGAGAUUGAAGAGCAUAUCGAUUAAUCGUGGAAAGUCCAAACUCGAUUUGCUCCAGAUUUGGCGUUCGGUGUCCAAUUGACCAUUAUAAUACCUUUCUAGAAGCAUAACGGCCCAACAAGUCAAACUCGUCGCUUUGCUAUGAUGUAUAGGCUUUUUAGGCCAUCCGAGUCCGUUUAGGGUUUCAAAAUGCAGAUUACUUGGUUUCGGCAAUUAUUUUUACUAGUUUGUUUUUGAUUUGGUUUUCUUUUAAUCCAUGGGCUUUUAGGCUUGGAUGUUAGUCGCCAGGGUUUAUUCGCUCCUAUAUAAGGACCAUUUAUUAGUUGUAGUUGGCAGCUUUUGAUAUUAAUUAAACCUUUGAUAUUUUUACUAGCUUUAUCUCAAUUCUCUAGUGGAUUCCAGAUUCUCUCGUGGAUUGAGAAAACCAGACUUGUGGAUUAAAGUUGCCAUUGGUGGGUUCCAACAUUUAUAUUUCCGCUGCAUCACUUGCACCGUCACAGCAGGGCCUUCAUCCACGCUUUCAGUUUUUAAGAAUGUUUAGUUCUAAAACCCUAAAGAGUGGCGUCAAACUCAAACCUCCAUGUCCGGUGGCGUGCCUUGCGCCGUCACUGGACAGGAAUUUCAUCCACGCCCUACUAGGUUGGGUGUGUGGUUGGGUCCUUGACCCGUUCUGGUUUUGCGGCUUGUGUGAAGAAUGGUGAGGCUUGGCACGCUUGGAUACAUUGGUAGAGAAGGAGGUGGUUUCGUGGUAAGCCGUAUGAGGCUUUGGUUUCAUAUCUAUUCAGAAGCGGCAGUUGAUGGUGGUUGGCAUAAUUGGAGUUCGAUUUGGAUGGUUGUUGUAGGGAGCCUCCUUUCAAUAUCUGUUCUAGUCACGCUGGUGGUGAAAACGACGGCGAGAUCUCUGAUGGGCCAAGGACGAGCAAGGAGGGUGGCUGAUGGCAGUGUACUUGUUGGGCCGCAUUUGAGCUUCAAUGGGCUGCACAAAGGGCUGGGUCUGAUGCUUUUUAGGCCUAGUGUUUUUAGGAUUUUUUUAAUGUUAUUAUUGAAUUUUUAACAUGUCAUUAUUGAACCCAAGUCAAUAAGCUAGUUUGCUAGAAAAGUUUAGGUUCUUGUUUAUCUUUGUUCUUUGGUGUUUUAUCACUUGGUGAUUACAAUAGGUAGCUUUAGGUUAACCUCAUGGCUUAAUUCUUACGUGACAUCUCAAGGGUAAGUCAUGUAUUUGUAAUUUCCUCUAAAUUGAAUACAAGCACUACCAGAAGAAAGGCUUUAGCCGACGAAAAUAAAAAAACCAGGCCGACGAAUUUUUUUUUCGUCAGCUAAAGUCCACGUUAGCCGGAGAAAUUUUCCUUCGUCGGCUAAUUUAAAUUUUUGUCGGCUAAAGAAAUUUUUUUGUCGGCUAUACUAUACUUUAGCCGACAAAAUUGUUUCUUCGUCGGCCAAAGUUUUCCUUCGUCGGCCAAAGUUUUUACUCAUCGGCUAAAGUAUUUUAGUAGACGAAAAAAAAUCUCGUCGGCUAUUAUCCGUCGGCUAAAAGAAAAACAAUAAAAUGUUGUAUAACUUACUUAGUAGGUUUUAAACAAAUACACAACUUUAUGAACCAACUCUACAUAGAAGCAAAAUUAACAAAAAUCUCGUGAAAUAAGAUGUGUUCAGAAUGGUGAAAUACGGCUAUGGUUCAAAAAUCCCGUAAAUUGGGUAACGUCUCUGAUGUAGAACAGUCGAAACCCGGUAUGCUGCAAAUUUGGCGUUCAGUGUCCGAUUGACUAUUGUGAUACCUUUCCGGAAGCGUAAUGGCUCUACGAGUUAUACUCAUUGCUUUGCUUUGACAUAUGGGUCUUUUUGGCCAUCCGAGUCUGUUUAGGGCUUCAAAAUGCAGUUUUCUUAUUUCCGAUUAGAGUUGACCGUUUCGAUCGAGCCCUUAACGUUGUCCAAUCCAGUUGAAUUUCUUACCAUAGACAUCUUUCGUCAUAAUGAUCAUAUCUGACGGUCGAAUUUUGGUUUGUGAAUUUUAGUCAUCGGAAUUACAACGUGUCUACUAAUGUUAUAUAACUUCUUUGUGAACCAACUCUACAUAAAAAGCAAAAUUAUCAAAAAUCUUGUGAAAUAAGAUGUGUUCAGAAUGGUGAAAUACGGCUAUGGUUCAAAAAUCACGUAAACCGGGUAACGUCUCGGUGCCGAUAAUAGCGGUCAACCCUAUUUACCGUUAUUAAUCCCUAUGGGGAGCCCUAUCGUCGGAAGGUAAAUGUCUCAAAAUUUUUAUAUAGGCGGUUGCGUCUCAUCUACGUGAAAGUUUUUUGUAUGGAAUGUUUGACCAAACUACAUAAUAUAGAGGGAGAUAUGAGCGUUUUCGUGUGAUAAGUGACGAUGGAUUAGAGUUAACCGUUUCGAUCGAGCCCUUAACGUUGUCGGAUCCAGUUGAAUUUUUUACCAUAGACAUCUUUCGUCAUAAUGAUCAUAUCUGACGGUCGAAUUUUGGUUUGUGAAUUUUAGUCAUCGGAAUCAUAACGUGUCUACUAAUGUUGUAUAACGUGUUUAGUAGGUUAUACAACUUUGUGAACCAACUCUACAUAGAAAGCAAAAUUAUCAAAAAUCUCGUAAAAUAAAAUGUGUUCAGAAUGGUGAAAUACGGCUAUGUUUCAAAAAUCACGUAAAUCGGGUAACGUCUCGGUGCCGAUAAUAGCGGUCAACCCUAUUUACCAUUAUUAUUCCCUAUGGGGAGCCUUAUCGUCGGAAGGUAAAUGUCUCAAAAUUUUUAUAUAGGCGGUUGCGUCUCAUCUACGUGAAAGUUUUUUGUGUGGAAGGUUUGACCAAACUACGUAAUAUAGAGUAUAGAGGGAGAUAUGUGUUGUGAUAUCGGUCAAUUAUGUAUGUCAAGGAACCCCAAAAGAACACAACAAACCAAGAGAAACAACCAUAGAGAUAAGACACAAAGAACACAGAUUUAAGGUGGUUCAGCAAAACCUUUGCCUACAUCCACCGGCAGAAAACACUUCCACUAUAUUAAUAAUGGGUACACCAAAAAGAAUAAGAAAACAAGGACUCUCUCACUUCUCUUCAUAUAUCUCUCUCCUCUCUGCCCUCUCUCACCCUCUAACCGAUAGGAGUUUUACCGGAGGUGGAUGGUAAGAAGUCAGAAAAUCAGAAAAAGUUACUGUUUCGCCUGCCGGAUUUUCUUCUUGGCCUAGCUCCGCUGUGAAGCCACCGGAGACCGCCACACUUGUCUCAAAAGCUUCGCCGUCAUCUCUACUUCAUUGCUGGACAGGUGGUGCAUCGAGUGGCGUCGCCAUGAGGGAUAAAUCGAGCUCCAAAACUCCGCCGGUUCGGAUUCGGUGUCGAUCGAAUUAAGCUAACAGGCCGCGAAACUUUUUCGUCGGCUAAAAUGUUUGUCCUGGUAGUGAAGGUCGUUCGUCCUUCCCAAAAAAAAAUGUUUAGUUAUAUUAUUAUCAAAGAAUUGUAGUUGGGAAGCAUGUAGCAUGCGCAUGCCUAAUAGACAGAGUACGUACCCCACGCAAUAGGUACAUGAAGAAAUUCUCACAUGCGACGGUCGUACCACAUCACAAAUGCAAAUAAUCAUAGAGUAACACGCGUCCUUGUUUUCUUUUUUAUUUUUUUUAUUUUUUAUUUUUUUUAUACCUCAGCUCUACUGAAAAGAGAGGACAAAACAAAUCAGAAUCUCUCUGAUCAAAACCCAGGUUCUCUCAAUCUCUUCUUCAACCUCAAUCUCUUUGUCAUAUGGCUCUCAAGGAGAUGAACGGUAAGGAAUUUCAGACCAAACCCUUCCCUGGCCUUGGGCCAAGAUGAGCAGGCCCAGGUCUAGGGCCUCCAAUUUAAGAAGGCCUCAAUAUAUAUUAUAUGGUGUAAAUAUGUGACAUGGGGAUAGAUUUGGUCUAGUGGUAAGUAGUACUGUAAACAUGUCCCCCAGUACCCGGGUUCAAAUCAUGCAGGCUAAGUUCUUUUUUUCAUUUUUAGUUUCUUAGGUUUUUUUGUCUUUCAUAUAUUUUUACAUUUUCAUUAAUUGUAGACUUUUAUUUACUAUUUCGUACCUUUUGCACUUUAAUUUUUUUGGGUGUUUAACUAAUUUCAGUAUUAUUUGACACCCUAUUUCUUUCUUAGAUUUUAUCUUUUUAGCACCUUAAAUUUAUAAGAUUUAUUUUAUACAUUUUGAUUAUAUCCUUUACCGUAACGUAGUUCAUCAAGCUAUUUUUCUUUAGCAUCAAGUAAUAACUAUUUUCAUAUCAUUUAAUAUAUAUAUAUAUAUAUAAUAUGAUCGAGUUAGUGAAAAUGGUCCUUAUAUAUUAUGUUGAUUUUUUUGCCGAACAUAUAUUAUGGGGCCUCAAAAAAAAAUUCACUUAUAGCCUCCGGACACACAGGGCCGGCCUUGCCUGGCCGAUUUGAUUCUUAAUCAAAACUCUUCUUGAUUGCUCACCUGACUUGUAAGGAGUUUCGAGUGAUUUCAACGGUAAGGAAUUUCAGACCAAAUUUUAUUUGUUUGAAUUGGGUUUAUCAAAUGGAAAGAUUAAGAUGGAGGAUGGGAAAAUGGGAGAACCUAGGUUGGAUACUUGGUUUGAUCGGAGAAAUCCCAAUAUGUUUUUUUUUUCUCUUUUCAGAAGAGUUGUCUGAGGUGAGGUGUAAAAAAAAACAGGAUGCAUGGCAGUCUAUAAUUUGAUGGUCGCAUUAAUUUGUGAUGUGGUAGGAUGGUCGCAUGUAAGAAUUUAUGUAGGUACAUGACUCCAUCAACGUACCCAUGCAUGCUUUCACUUUAAUUAGGUUUCAUGAGUUUCAUCACAAUAUCAAUAAUUAAUUAAGUUUAUCUUAAUCUUUCCGACCUAGCUAGUGUAUAAUAUACCUUCUUGCAUUACAGAUGUAAGAUAUUCACCGACGCUUAAUAUUUUAACAAAGUCCAAUACAUAUUGUUUCUGCUGGUAUCGACUUGUCACCACAUGAGACGUACGUUUAGUUUGGACACUAAAACAAAUCGUUCAUAAGAGAAUAAGAUGUAGAACAAACAUAUUGUUCUAUUUAAUUGAGUGCGCGAAAGUGAAGACUGUAACUAAAUUAUUGAUAUUAGUUCAGUUCGAUUCGAUCUCACACAACCGAUGCUUACUAUUCCAAAGACUGUUAGAAGAGGCGUGAUCGAUUAAAGAAGAUGUGUCAUUUUAACUUGGGUACUUUAUCUUGGAAUGAAAAAGUACGUGGAAGAAGAGAAUCUGAUAUAGAGCUAGCUUAUAUCUAACAAGUAAUUUGAGAAGCUGAUUUUGACUGCAUAAUUUUCAGAGUCGAUAUGAAGCGUUGAAUGAUGUAUGCAUGGUUUAAUGAGUUUGAUGGUACUGAUAUAUGCGUCUCUUGAUCUCUCAUUCCAUAAAUUCGUUGUUCCUGAUACUAAAUCAUUUAAGGCAGACACUCCCCCCUUCGGCCCUUCCAGUGAUCGAGUUUCAGAAACUAAAAAUAAAAGUAAAAAGUUGAAAGAGGCGACAUUUGUAAUCUAACAUCCCAAGAUAGCUUGUUAGAGAACGACAAUGAGCUUCUAUGCAGGCUUUUAAUUUCACUAAUUAUAGGAGGCUGAUGGAUUGUCAUCAAUUAAGCUCUGCAUGCAUGGAAACUAUUACAAAGAAAACUUGGCCAUACGGCACACCAAUCAAAAUGCUAGCACCACUAAAGUACGUUAGAGCCGUAGAAAAUUAAAGGUGAACAUCACACGGUUUUACACUUUAGUAUAUUUUAGAUAAAUACCAUUUUGCUUACCGAUGAAAUCAAUCAAUCAAAUUGUAACCAGAGAAAACCAUGUAGUUCAUAUACUGUUUUCUUGAACCAGGUGAACUUAUUGGUAAUUAUUGGUAGUUCAGUUAUUUUUUGAAAGCUAUUCAAUUUGAACUUUGAAGUUAGAAUUAUCCUUACUAUAAUAUCAUCAGCAGGAAAGUAGUUGGUAAAUUAAUUAACCGGCCAGCUGGGUUAAUUAGUAGUAGCAGUACGGAUCGAAGCAGCUGAUCGAAGAUAACUUGGAGCUAGAGAUUAUCGAUCAGUUCCGUUCCAAAAUGGUAAAGGAAAUAAAAAGGAAUCAGAUUUGGGUUUUGGCACUAAAGUCUACAGCAAUCUAGUUAGGAGAGACUAGCUAGAGAAUCCAGAACAGAUCGAACAAACACUGCACAAGUGUUGAUGAUGAAGAAGGUACAGCGAUCGAUGGAGUUUGAUAUAGGAGAGACUAGCACUCUAGCAAGUAUGUGUCGGCAGACAGUCUUGCCCUAUAGCCUAAAACAAAUAAUAAGCACAAAAGAAAAGAGAGCGAUGAGAGUCUUAGAGAUCCGAUCGUAUCGAUCACGUAGUACAGAGCCAGCUAGAGAUGAUGGCCGAGCACGGUAAAAGAAGGAGCCAGAGGGAUUAAAAGCUAGCUAGGUCAUCCAGAUAGGAACGAAUAGCAGUACGAGCUGAAAUCAAGCACUGCUUUCCAGGUGGUGGCCAGUACUGCGAGGAAGACAACGUGUUGCUUAGUGAGAAGGGUUUGCCUCACUGUUGGGUCACUUGCUACUCCGAUCCUAUCAUUCAGAGUAGCAGUACUUCUCCUCCUCCUCCAUCGAUUCGAUUAUCUUUUACAGUUUACUACUACUGGAUCUCCUCCACUGAAAGAGAAUGGAAAGAAACAAAACAAAAUAGGCUAGAAUUCGCGAAUCUAGAGAGCACCAACGAUGUUGACCGGGAGGGAAAGGAGCAAUUAAAGCCUUUCAUCUCAAUCAAAUGACCGAAAUGGAGACUCUAUUCUUGUUGGCAAAUGCAAAUACGAAUCCACUGAUUUCCAUCCCCAUGUUCUCUGAGCAAUGACCUUUGUUUCCAACAGUAAUGGAGAUUUGUUGCAAACUGUCUCCGAAUCCCGUGCUUUUCAAGUAAGCACCAACUCCUGUGAUGUGUAUUCCCCUCCAGAGUCUGUCCUCAAACAUGGCUUUCUUUGCCUUGACUUUAUAAGUUUCAUUCUCCACUAAGCUUCUGAACUCUAAUAGCCCGAGUUCCAAACCUAUCUCACUAAUAAUAUAAUAAUAAAGGGCGGGUUUCAGUCUUGAAGUCUGUCUUCUUCAAUGGAUAAGAUUCAAAGGGAGUUUACUUGCUUACUUGUUAGAGUAAGGGAGUUUCACUUACUCGACUGUUAGGGAGAGGGAGUUUUACUUUUUUCCAACGGUCCGAAAUCUUUCAAAAAUUCAUAGAUUCCUGCUGCUUAGUGCCGUACGUAGAUUCGUUGUAAGCCGGCGCCAUAGCCCAGUUGGGGACAGGUGGCCUCUCUGUAUCUGACUUUUCUGACAUGCCUUCAAGCAGGCUUCAAUGUUAAUCUGCCGCGUGUGCUACGUGCUACUGGUCAGUGUUACCCCGACCCUCUCUGGAUUUGUUUUGGCACGGUGAUCUUCGAUAUUGUUCAUCUACUACUAGCUAGGGUUAGGGUAAAGCCAAUUUCAAUGUUUCAUCAUUUUGCAUGUGUAGGUUACUUUCGAGGGUUUGUUAUUUGUUUCUUUGUAGUGAUUCUAGGUUAGAUUGAACUUCCUAACGUACUAUUCAACCAUUUAGUUAUGGUUGUAAUUUGACAGUCAAUUUGAUUAAUUUGUUAGCUUGCAUUUCAUGGAUGAAACUAUGAAUGAUGAUAUGUACGUUUAGUGAACUACAAUAUUAGAUCCUAAUGUUAUGUAAUAAUUAAUAGUAUAGCUACAUCGAUCAUUUAUUGAAACAAUACUCUCAUAGGGUGGUUUCUAAACAAGGCCUUGCCGUAUUAUUGAUCGAAGUACAAAAUCAUUUGGACAAUGAUGAAUUCUCCUCGUAUGGUGUUACGGCAUUACGUUGAGUCGAGGAGGAUUUAUUUGAAGUAGGUCGAGUUCUGAAGGCUUGUAGAUCGAGCUUUCAUGCAAGCUUUUUAAUCUAUUCAAAUUCGACAUACAUUAAUGUUGCGGACAAACUAACACACCUAGCGAGUGUUGGAGUUAUUGAUUGAUACAUGGUUAGAGCAGACUUCUGCAGUUAGAUGAACUUGUCGAGUAUAAUGACAAAUGUUUCUCAGUUUAGAGGACCUAGAAGAAGUUUUACGAAACAAUUGGUCUCCAACAUGUUAAGAUUUGUUAUUUAAGCUUAGCGACAAUGAGAUGUUUUUUUAUCUCAAUUUUUUUUGUGUAUCAAGCUUUGAGACGGUAUGCAAGAGGGCUAACUAGGAUGCUCGAGCAAAGAUUUAUGAAAACCAAAAGUCUAAUAACCUUUUGCUUUCGUGUUUUAUUUAUUAAUUUUUUGACAUAAUUGUCAAUUUGUUACGCUAACUUUCACCUUUGUGUCAAUUUGCUAGCCUAGUUUUCAUAAUUGCCAACAUCAGUGUGGUGGUUUUGUUAGGACAAAAACUUGCAUUGUCAACCCCAUGAUUGUCGAUGAAUGAAAUUUCCUCUUCUAAACAAGUAAAAUAGCUAGCUAAAUCUCUUGAAAAUUUGAAGUCGCUAUGAUUUACACCCUUGAAACUCGAUCAAUACAAAUUAAUCAGCAAAGAUCACAGCCUUACAGCAGGUCUUUAUAGCCAGAAGGAAAAACUUUACAAACAUGUAAUGAGAUAUUAAUUGAUCUAAUUAAGAAUUCAUUAAUUAAUUGCCUUAAUUAUUGAU